This 86228-nucleotide long non-coding RNA is filed under the name Solanum melongena (eggplant). Its description in RNAcentral is "long non-coding RNA (SMEL_LNC000223)". The record is from RNAcentral. Lineage: Eukaryota; Viridiplantae; Streptophyta; Magnoliopsida; Solanales; Solanaceae.
GUUACGCCAAAAGAUGCGGUUAAUACAGCCAGAACCACACCUGUAACCCAAGUCAAUUCGCGAGGUUUUUUAAAUCCGCCGGUGAGAUACACACGAAAUACAUGCAGGAUCAUCAUUAGGACCAUCAUACUUGCCGACCAUCGAUGAACGGAUCGGAUUAACCAACCAAAGUUGGCUUCAGUCAUUAUGUAUUGAACAGAAGCAAAAGCCUCAGUAACGGUCGGACGAUAGUAAAAAGUCAUAGCAAACCCAGUAGCUACUUGUACUAAAAAACAAGUAAGCGUAAUUCCCCCUAAACAAUAAAAUAUAUUGACGUGGGGAGGAACAUAUUUACUAGUUAUAUCAUCCGCAAUUGCUUGAAUCUCGAGACGUUCUUCGAACCAAUCAUAUACUUUAUUGAGAUAGGCGGAACUCCCCCUCUGAGAACCGUAUAUGAGACUUUCAUCUCGUACAGCUCAAGCAAAAACACCCAAAUACUAGUUGCAACGGAGAUGGAAUAGAAAGUUUGAAAUUUAUUAAGUUCUGAUCCCAUCUUCUCUGGAAAAUCCGAAAGCUCUUCUUUGUGGCGAUAAUACCAAAAUAUCAAGUUGGCGCAGUCGUCUUUAUCUUUAUUUUGAUACUUAUGGGCCUCUUGAAUUCUCUUGUUCCCUAUUUCUUUAUAGAAUUUGUGGAAUAUGGCUUUUAUUAUUUGUUUUCUUUAUUAUUGAUAGGAAUUCUCUUGUUAAGACCCUAUGAAUCAAUUAAAACCUCAGAUUCAUACUAGAACCACGAUGAUUCAAUAAAAAAACCUAACCUAAAUCAAAUCAAGGAUUCCCUGAGUAAGAAUCCUCGGAUCAUCACUUAUUCCCUGAAUAAAUAGAAUGACUAAAAAUUCAAAGAAAGGUUUUGCUUUUGGUCAAAAUAUAAAUAGGGGUUGAAAGAAAAGAAUCUUUCGAUUUAGAAAUUAAAAUUCCUUGUUUGAAAAUUUUUUGGAGCCCGGGCACGAGGUCUGAAUAUUAAGUAUGAAUCAUAGUUCAAAUAUUUCUUAAUCUAUUUCGUGUUCCAAAUAUUCGAAUAAAUAUCUGACGAAGUAGAACCAUCUCUAUCAAGAUAACAGACCCAUUCUCUGUACUAUCAAUAGGAUCAAUUAUAACAAGUCACACACUCAUACUCCGGAAAUACAGAAACAAAGAAAUUCCACGAUCGAACUACCAAAAGAAAAUAGAACGGACUAUAAAAACUCUCCAUAAAAGUCACAACUUUUCUUAGAAGUCACAAUAUUUCUUAAAAGUCAAGACUUUUCAUGAAAGGGAAAGGCUAGUUUGGUAAAUAAAUGAAUUAAAAGGAAAUCCUGGUUUAUGGUAUAUAUAUAUAUAUAUAUAUAUAUAUAUAUAUAUAUAUAUAUAUAUAUAUAUAUAAUGCUUACAUCGAUUUUGCUUACACGUUUACAUUGAUUUUUGCUUACACGAGACGAGACAUAUAAGAUUAAAUAUUGUUAUCGUCUUUUGAAAGGGAUGAAUUUGAUUAUCCGACUAGCAUUUUUUGACUUGUCCCUCAUUAAAACGGUUGUGGUUAAGUGUUAUUACUCAUUGAGCUAGCGUCUCACACCCUGCUAAAUUUUUACAGAGAACACAGGUGAUGUUGGCAAGGACUUUAUUAACUAGAGCUAGCAAGUUAAGAUUCCAUGGUGAGCCCACACUUGUUCAUGCAGGCAGUAAGCUUAUUUAUUUUUAUGGAACUUCGUUUGGAUUCUUAGUCACUCCAUAGUCACUUCUCUACUCGAGUCCCGAAUAUUCUUCCGUUCUUAUAUAGAUGUGUGAUCAGUACCAAACUUCAUUUCAUUUUUUUGACAAGGCUUGCUUUAGGUCACGUUCCUAAAUUGGGUCAUGACAUUAACCAAAUUUAUCUAUUGGGUUAAGGGCAAGAUAUACAUGGGGUCUAUAUAAUAAUCAGAGAAAAAAAAUUAGAAAGUUAGACAAAACAAAGAGGUUUCAAAAUAGAAGCAAUAAAUUUCAAUGAGUUCUUAACAUUAGAUCUUAUAUACAUUCUUAUACAGAUAAACAAGAAAUUACAAUAAAAAAGAAACAAGGGAGAUUGUGAUGAUUUUCCAAUCUUUUAUACAAGGUGACCUAGUAGUCUUAUGCAUGAAAUAAUCAAUUUCGUCGUUGUAGGUGAAUUCUAUUAUGGAUUUCUGACCACAUUCUCCACAGGGCCAUCAAGCAUAUAUAUUAAUUGAAAUAGUCAAGCACUAGACUAGUAUUGGACAUCACAAAAUGAGAGGGUCCCCUACAAAAAAAAACAAAAUAUAACACCUCGUACUUUCAUGCUAAGGUUUGAUCCGUUCGACAUGUAUGACUUAACCAUACCCAGUUAAUUGUUGUGAUUUGUAAGCGUUGAAGGGCCUAUUUGUGCUUGGUGAGUUAUGUAAGUUUGGAGUUGAUCAAAGAUUGGAAAGGUUUAUGAAGGUGUUACGUCAUGUAUGGUGUGAAGUACGAUGAAAAAAUGAUCAAAAUGGUCCUUAAUGUAUAAGGGUUAAAUUAUUUUGGUCCUCUAUAUAUAUCAUCUUAUCCAAAUAGUCCUUAACGUAUACAAAAUGAUGGUCAUUUUAGUCCUUACCCCUAAAACUAACCAAAAAGAAAAAUAAAAGUUGUUAACCAGUGAGUCCCUUGGAGUUGAGACCCUUCUUCCUCAAUCUACUCUUUCACCACCACCAUAACUAUGUGCCACCAUAGGUUUGUCUUAGAGCCCGUUUGGUCAUGCGAUAUGAUAUCAUGAUAUGGAAUCAUGAGAUGAAAUUGAAAUUUUGUUUGGACAUGUGAUAUGGAAUUUUAGUGUUGUAUAUUUUCUCAUAACCAUAAAAACCCCAUAAGUUCUAAAACUAUUAAAAUAGCCCAAAUUGUUUAUUCAAUAUUAUCAAAUAAACAAAAUAUCGUAAAAUCGUAUAAUAAAUUAUUACAAAGUUAUUUAUUCUCCACUUAAGUAAUUGUUUCAUCAAUAUAUUUAAGUAAAAAUGAAACACCUUUCACGGGAUCUUCAAGAUUUUAUUACUCAACAAUCAUGAAGUGUGAGUUAAAGUGACUAUAUGUUGGCGAGAAUAAUUAAUUUUAAAAAGUAAUGACGUGAUUAUAAAUUUCAUUUACAUUUGAAAUAAAUGGUUAGUAGAUAUAAAUGUGAGGUUGUUUUAACAAAAUAUAAACUCGUGGAUCAAUUUUUGUAUUAAAAUAACUCAAAUCAUGAUACGGUAUUCCCAUAUGAUUCCAUAUCAUGGUUUUUGGAGAAUAUCGUAUCACAUCUCAUGAUAUGGAAUCAUGAGAUGGAAUCAGCAUAAAAUUGCAUGUCCAAACGCUGAUUCCAACUCACGAUACCAUAUCAUGAUAUGGUAUCACAUGGCCAAACACCUACUUAAAUAGACAUUUCCACUACUUUAGCUCAAGUUUAUGGUUCUUACCUUGGCAAGUAAGGACAUCCCUUUUCAAUAUGGGAUAGACACUUGAUUGGCGAAUUCCGUGUUAUAGCUCACAUGGUCUAUGUCGGUUAAAGGCAAGAUAUCUCUUUUCAAUAUGGGAUAGACCCUGGAUUGGCGAAUUUCGUGUUAUAGCUCACAUGAUCUAUGUCGGUUAAAGGCAAAUUUCCCACAAUAAUGAACUAAGGUUACUUUCUUAAGUAUCUCACAAGUGUUUUAUAUGAUGUUUAAACUUUCAUUGACCAUGAUUGACUUAUGUUUUCUAACAUCUAUUUUUAUGAUUUAGCUUGGUCAUUGCAUGUCAUAUGAAGUCUUUUUAGCAUAAUUUUGUCACUCUUGUACAUUGUUAUCACUUGGUGCAUUCCAUGUACUAACGCAUACUAGUGAUUACAUUGUUUCACUAGUGUAGGGCCUAAUGCUCCUAAUCCCCCUCCUCGUGGCUAGUAGAUUCAUUUGAGCUUUUGAAGAUUGGUGAGUCCUCAUGAUCUGAGGGCUAAGAUUCUUUUAUCACUUUCAUGUCAUUCUCAUUUUCAAACUUUGUAUGUGAUGUAUGGGUUACGUCUCAGUCACUCUCUUUAUGAUGUAAGGAUGGCUUGAGACUUAUGCUUAGACUUUCACUUUUUCCAAGCUCUGUUACAUAAAAUCUUACUUUUAAACUCUUUUGUUUCUAUUAUCUUAUUUGACAUAUGCUAAUUGGCUUGUGUAAGGCCUUUCGGGUCCUAUACGUAAUGUUACGCCUAGGGUCUACUUUGGGUCUUGAAACCUACAACCCGUUGCACCUUAGUAUGAUUACACAAUGCUACUUUAGUAAAGUUGUCUGUAACGAUGUUUUCAUAGUAAUUAGAUAGAUUUUGGAUGAUUGAAGAUCAAACCAAGCUUUUAGCUAAGGAAAACCCUCUUUUGAGUUACUUGAUAUUGUUGUUCUUCACUAGGGAUGGGCGUUCGAUUAUUUAAUUCGGCUUUAUCAAACUUCGAUUUGGUUCAAUUGUUCAACUUUAGAAAAGUGUGCACUAUAUAUCAAACCAAACUAACUUGGUUUGAUUUUUUCUACUUCGAUUUGAUUUAGUUCAGUGUUUUAAAUUGGUUGUUCAAUGUGAAUGAAAAAUAAAACAAGGACAAAGUAUAAGAUACUUUAAAAUUUAAAACUAUGUUAAGGAAUGAUGCGCCUCACCAAGAAACACUUAUUGUGCUAACCAAAAGGACUAUAUUUGUCUUUAUCAAGAACAUUGUGCCUCUAACUAAUUCUCGAGAAAAACAAGUACGAAGACAGGUCCCUUUACAAAAUGUACAUUGGCAAAAAUGUGUUUGAGUUUCUCUUCGAAAUUAAAAUUUGAAGUUAACUAUUGAAUUGUACAUUUGUAGCUACUUUGAUUUGUUCCUGAAUGAUUUAGUUGUUAGUUGAACUUUAUUUUUAAUUAUUAAUUUUUUAUUUGUUUUAAAUAAAAGUUCAGUUCUUCGGUGCACCGAAGUUUUGAGACCCUUACACCGAUCACCGAAACAAAGAAUCGAACUUUUGAAGAAAUAACAGCAACAAUAAACUGAAAAACCAAAUUAGUUCGGUUCAGUCCAGUUUUUCUUUAUGCCCACCCUAUUAUUACUUUUAUUUGAACUUGAGCUUGGAUUAGUGACUUAAUUAUGUUUUCUAUGUAUGAUGAUAUGUUUAUGAAUAUGACUAUUCUGUUGGAAUUUUUACCAAGCACCGAGAGGACAUUGAGAUGGAGGCUCUCCAGUUAGUAGAGGUUGGGUCUCUAGUAGCAAUCUUCUUAUCCCUAACCACAUGCCCUCGUAGGAUUGUCUUAAGAAGACAUCGCUAGUGGAUCCAAGUAAGCUAGAAGUUCAUGAUCCUUAACUUGGCAAGUAGGACAUCUCUAUUCGGUGUGGGGGCAUGACACUAGAUUCCAUGUUAUAGCUCACAUGGUUUAUUUUGGCUAACGGUAAAUAUUUCACAAAAUGAACUAAGUUACCUUCAAAAGGGUUUUAUGAAAGCUUCCAUUAUGAACUAAGCUACCUUCAAAAAGGUUUCAUGAAAGCUUCCAUUAUGAUUUAAGAUGCAUAGACCAUGUCAUGAUUUAUGAUUUGAAGGUUUUAAUAUGUUUUAGUUUGGUCAUGCACAUCAUAUUUUCCUUAUGCCCCCUUAUGAUCAUGUUUCACAUUUUUAUGCAUACCCCUCAUACUUGGUACAUGAAAUGUACUAAUGCAUAUUUUUGCCUACAUGUUUUAAUAAUGUAAGGUCCAACGCUUUUCUCCACCCUCUCGUGACUAGUUGAUUGACUGAUCGUUGAACACUUGGUGAGUCCUCAUAUUCUGAGGACCACGUCACCUUUACUAUGCUUUCUUAUGUCUUUGGUUUUCAGGCAUUGUAUGUGGUCUAUGAGUUACGUCUCAACCACUCUUUUGAUGUAUUAGAGUGGCUUGUCAAGACUAUGAUUAGACUUCCGCUUUUAUGUCAAACUCUUUUACGAUCUGAGAUCGAUUCAUAAUUUUAUUAUAUUGUGUUGUAUGAAUGUCAAGUGGCUUGUGUAAGGCCUCUCAGGGUAUUGCAGCUAUUGGACCUUCAAACUCACAUAUCCCUCUAUCUGUAGUUCCCAUUUUAUUGUUUAUUUAAGCUUUGAUUCUAUCUAAAUCAAUUUUUGGUGCCAUAACUCAGUAAGAUUAGUAUGCUUAUACACAUUUAUUGACCAUAUUGAAUGAGGGUGCAAGGUACUCAUGUUUGAAUGUUUUGUAGCUAUUGGAGUUCAACCUUGUGAAUGACUUUCAACUUGUUAGUUGAAACCUCCUCUCUUAUGUUUAUAUAUUUUCGGUACAAUCAAUAUCUAAAAUUAAUGGAGUGUAAAAGACUCUUAUGUCUUUUUGCUUGAAUAAAAUUGUCAACAAAUAUAAUCAGAGCUUCAGUGUCCUUCAAAUAUAAGAUGUUAAAGCACUCACCACAUACACGUCUUGAUAAUUUUGCAAGUUCUGCAGCAGCAAGUUUGGCCUUUUUCCCAGCGAAUUCUCUUCUCUCAACUUCAUCCAUCCUCCACUGUCACAAGCAUGAGCAGAAAAUUGUACCAACAAAUUCAAAAAGCAAAAAAGAGAAGAAGGGGAGAGAAUUAAAGUUGAUGUACUCAUACAAUAUACAUUAUAUAUUGUAUAUAUACAGAAACACAUGCGCGCACACACACACACACAUAUAUAUACAUACAUGGUAUAUGUAUAUGUAUAUGUAUACAUACAUGUAUAUGUAUAUGUAUAUGUAUAUGUAUACGUAUAUGUAUAUGUAUUUGUAUAUGCAUAUGCAUAUGCAUAUGCAUAUGCAUUGUAUAUGUAUAUGUAUAUGUAUAUGUAUAUGUAUAUGUAUAUGUAUAUGUAUAUGUAUAUGUAUAUGUAUAUGUCAGGUCAUUUUAUCAAGAUGUCUAAAAAACCAGAAAUCAUCCACUGAUUACUUAGUGUUGGCCAAUUACAAUAAAAAGAAUAACUAUCACUUUACUAGACCGAUCAAAUAACAACAUACCCAAUGUAAUUCCACAAAUGGGGUCUAGGUAAGGUAGAGUAUACGCAAACCAUACCCCUACCAUGGUAGGUAGAGAGGUUGUUUCCAAUAGACCCUCAGCACUCAAGGAAAAGCAUAUCAAAACAAAUCAAAAAAGAAAUAAUCAGAAAUAAAAAUCAUGGCAAUAUACUAUAAGAAGUAUGGCCAAGCAUUUUGAUAGCAAGACAGUUACCACAACAAAAUAGUGUGAUAAUCGACAUACAGAGGCAAUAGAUAGUAAUAAAAAUCGAAGCACAAGGAAAUACAGAAAAAAUACUAUAACUACUAGUAUGGAAGGAUAAGUGAGACAAUACUCUAUUACCUACUAACUUAAGGAUAAGUGAGACAAUACUCUAUUACCUACUAACUUUCUACCUAUUGUGUCCUCCACAGCCUAUUUUAAGGUCAUGUCCACAGUAAGGUGCAACUACGUCAUGUCAUGUCUAAUCACCACUCUAAAUACUUCAAUACUCCGUUGGCCUGCCUCUAACUAUCCUAAAGUCAUCCAUGGACAAACUCUCGCAUCUCUGCACUAGGGCCUCCAUGCCUCUCUUUUUUACAUAUCUGAACCAUCUCAGAUUUGACCAAUCAAAUAAUAUCAAGAUAAUCAACCUCUAAUAAAAAUAUACUCUUUUAUUUUAUUUAGUAAUUUUUUACUCCUAGUCAGUUAGUUUUAAUUGUCCUCCUUUGUUAUUGACAUAAACUUCACUUGGAAUCGAUACUUGAAUCUUGAAGUGAUCUGAGAUAAACGGGUUCUUGAAGAAAUUAUGGACAUCUCAUGAGAGAUAAAAGGCAAACAGUGGUGAAGUCAUUUGAGGGUGGUCAUAACGCCUUAAGCUUUGAGUAUAAACACGAGUAUUGACUGAUAUGAAUUUUGAGUGUUCGUGAGGGAUCCUUUUUAAGUAACUAAAUUUUCUUGGUUUCAAGUAUAUAUUUUGUAGGUACAUGGAGCAAGAAGGUAGACACGAAUGGUAAUGGGAAUCCAAGUGGUGAUCCAUGGAAGGAAGUGAAAGAAGAGUUCAUCAAAUGAAAGAUGUUUUAAUGCAUGGUAUGAAAUAUGAAACACAUGUGAUACGAAGAGGGAACUCAGAGAAAGGGAUCUUAAUUAAUUAAUGGGAAUGAUAGUCCGAGUUCUGGAAGCAUACUUUUAAUUGGGUCCAAGAACUUGGAGACAUUUGACCCUUCGGGGUGGCCGAGUGGUUUGAGCUUGGGACUUCCAUGUUGGAGGUCUCAAGUUUGAAACCUCUUGCCAGCGAAAGCAAGGGGUUUGCCUUCUGGGUCGAGCUCAUCCUGGUGCGGGUUACCUCUCCUAUGUGGUUUGCGAGCUAUUGCAUAGAGCGGGAUUUUACCUUGUGCGCACCCAAAAGGGUAGCGGCUGUUGGUUUCCCUUGUCGUCAAAAGAAAAAAAAAAUUAAGAGACAUUUGAUAUCUUCAAAGUUCCUAACCGAGUAGUUUAGCCACAAAGUUAUUCAUAGAUCGUGCUUAUUGCGGGAUAGAAUGAUGAACUAAAGGAUCAGACAAAAAUUAGUCUCCAUGGCUAAAUGUAAGAGUUUAAAAGGCUCAUAAAAGAGAAAUUCGCUCGUACAUAUUUUCGAGAAAGAGGUUGUGGUAAAUAUAAUAAAGGAUCUACGUGGAAUAAAAAAGCAAGAUUAUAAUAAAUGAUUGAAGAAAUAUGCAAGGAAUAAUGCCAAGAAAUAAGGCUUGAAGAACAUUCAAGAUGGGUAUCCUUUGUCUAUAAUCCCUUUGAUUUCUCAUUGCCUUAGAAAAACUUUUCCCAAUUCCUGAAUAUCUGGUUUGCCAUAAGAAAUUUUACCUAAUACAGAAUAUUGAAGGUUCAGCCGUCGUUGAUAUAGGUCACUGAAUUCACGGUUACCAGUUGUUGUACACUAGUCCGAAUUGGUCUUAGAAAACUUGUGUAGGUCGAGCCUAUUGGUUGUUCUAAUGGUGAAUUGCAUAAGUUAGUUGUGGAAGAGGUAGGAAUGGUGGAACACCCUCUGAUGGAGGUUGUCCACCGGCCAUUGUGGUCAUCCAUGGCCAAUAGGCUUUUUGGAUUUUAGGGGUUUUCGCCACUUAUGAUUGAGAGAAAAUAUCCCAUGCAAUUAUACUAUGAGCUUUUGUUAGUACUCCCUCCGUCCACUUUUAAUUAUCAUGUGGUUUCCUUUUUUAGAGUCAACAUAAGAACUUUGAUUAACAUUUUUCGAUGUAUUUUUCAUCAUAUUGAUACGCGAAAAUCGCAAUUUAUAGUACUUUUCAUAUAGUUUUGGAAUAUCCAAAUUUUUUGUUUAAAUAUUGAAUUAAUGUAAUCUAAUUUAACUUCAAAAAUAAGUCAAAUUGAUUUUCGAAAAGCAUGACAAUUAAAAGUGGAUGGAGGGAGUAAUAAAAUACUUCAACUUUAGAUUAACGAUAAAUCUCUCAAUUUCUUCUUAUGAUCUUAUCACAAUUAUUAGUCAUUACUCUACUUUCAUACUGGACCAAGCCAUUAUAAGUUGUUUGAGUAGAUUUAGCUAAGGUCGUUGCACUUCUUCAGCCUCUUGGCAAAGUAGGUUGAUAGACAAGCCCGCCAUAAUCACAAUCGUGUGGGGCAUCAGAGGUUGUUACGUUAUCCUGAAAAAGGAUUACUUUUUAUUUAAAAUAGUCAAAGGUACGGGGUAUACAAUGGAUAUAUCAAAAAUUAAAGAAUCUACAGCAAAAAUGUUUCUCCACUAACUCCACCCAAUCUUCAAUACAAUUGGAAACUCUAUCAGUGCACCAAAAGAACAUAAGGGAUCAAAGGCUACUUGUCAAUUGAGAAAAGCUCGACUCUACCCCUUAAAAGCUCUCCUAUUUCUCUCUUUCCACACCACCCACAUUAAAGCUAAUGGAACCAAGUUCCAAGCAAUAGGCAAGUUUUUAAAGAAAAAGUCAGCAUAUAUUUUUUUUUAUAAUAUAAGUCAUAGAAUAUUUUUAAAAUAAAUAUAUUAUUAGGUUACUUUGGGUCGUUUUGUAGUUCAUACCAAAAAUUUUAAACUAAAUACAUGUUUGUUGCUUAAGCCAGUUCUAUUUAGUCGUUCUGUUCAGUUUGAUUUUUUAAUUUUUCUUGAACACUCCUAAUUAUUUAUGUUUGUUGAGGGUCAAACGAAAACAAGAUCUCUACCUCCGAGGUAGUUAUAAUGUUUGUGUACACUCCACCUUUACCAUACCCAGUUGAUGGGAUUACACUGGUAUGUCGUAUGUUGUAUUCCUAAUUAUAUAUGUAGAAUAUACAUAAGAUAAACAAAGAGAUCAGAGCCUUGGCUAAACUUUUGAAAUCGUAAUGCCAUAAUGCUUUUCCAAUCCUCCUAGUCAUUACCCUACUGCAAUAAUUCUUGCUAAGAAGAAUUCCUAUGUUGUGGCAAUUCCACCUAAAAGGUAAUGGGUUACUCCUCCAGCACAUCCUUGCAUAAUUCUCAAGACCGAGUAGCAAGUAGGUUUUUUUUAAUUCUAUUUUUUCAUCAACAUCCCUUUUUUGUUUUAGAUUUAUAAGAAAAUUAUGAAGAUAUUGUCGAUUAAACAAUGAAACAAACUUUUUGAAGUAUAUUCCUUAUUGAAAUCCCAUCAAUCAAAUAACUUUUUCAAGAAAUGAAAGACAUGUAAGCCAUACAAGUAAAGAGAUCCAUUCAUUGAUAAAAGAUAGAAAAAACGUGAAUUGGAUUGGAUUGAUGAGAAAAUGGAAUCCUGGGUCACAUACAGUGAUUUAAUUGAUAGAAAGAGAAUUCUUCGUUCAGUUCUCCACCUCAAAAACAAAUUAUGGUGUAAUACCUCUUUGUCAUCUCGCUGAGAUGCACAUAUUAAUACGUCCUCUAAACUGAUUAUGACGGGAUCCCAGCCAAGCUUUUUCCAUGGAAUUUUAAUACUCAGCUUGCCAACACGACCUAAAAAAGCAAACACAUACAAUCUCAUAAAGAAGAGAAACUUAGAUAUACAAUGUCUGAGAAAACAGCCUAUAGAUGUUCUAUAAGAGACAAAAAUGGUGUAAGUGUUAUAAAGUUCAUCAAGAAGCAUCAAACUCCAUGGGAGUGCACAAAGAUGACCAAAGGCAAAGAAACAAUCAACUUCGAACUAUUUUAAAAUUUCGCUGACAUCCCAUUUAUUCAACAGAAACUAACAUGCAUGCAUUUAGUGGAAUAGAAUUCUGAUGACAAGAAUUCCUGAUUUCAAAAUUUAACUCAAUCAUAUUUCUUUUCCAUUGCCGAAAUAAACUAGAUUAAAAUAAUGUCAGCAAAUUACCAGUAUCAACAAAAAAUAAGUAUUUCCUAAUGUUUUCUACAUUACUUCUCAAACUAAAAUAUAACCAAGUAAUACCAACCAAUGUCCAAAAAUUGGUGAGGCAGGCAACUGAGAACCUUAAUGAGAGCUACAUUCAGUAUGGACAAUUAUAGUAAAUGAGCAGGCUAUAAUAGUGAAGUCUAAGCACUUGGCAGUUGGCAUGGAUAAAAAGCCGAAAGAAUAAAGGUGAUAGGAUGAAGACAGGAUAAGGUGCACAAGUGAAAGCAAAAGUAACAUUAAUUUGCUGUCUUUGUGUAAAAGAUGGAAGGAAGUACCCACAUUUUUCAAUGCGAAGUGGGUUAAAAGGGUUAGCAAUCUCAUGUUGAACGUAAGAUUCAUAGAGCUGGUGUUUUAGUGUGAUGAGACAAGAGGUUGACAGUCACUUACUCAGUGCGAACUGUUCACAAAACAUACAAAUUUCAUUUUUAAAUGGUGGGGAUCAUAUGAUGCCCAACAAUUCCGUACAGCUGAAUGUUAAUGGGAAGUGACAAACCAACACAUAGAUUCAGAUCUGGAUGGAGAGAAAUUGUAGGAUUUCUGAAUGCAAGAUAUUUGUUCUCCUACUUCUGUUAACUUUGUUAUUUUCAUAAAAUUUUUAAUACAAAAUACAUCCCAACAGUUGAGAAAGAUUAGAACGGUAAAGGAUUUCUAAGUUUUACACUAGCCUUUGAAAUCAGUUUCUAUAUUCAAAUUCACCAGAACCUUUGACGUACGGCUCUUCAAGCGGCAUACCUAAAAAAAAAAGGCCCCUAUGGCGACUACCUUUUUUAAAAAACAUUAUACAGUGACUGCCUUACUUAAGCAAUUCUUCUUAUUUUUAUUCUUUCUUAGUUGUAGUUCCUAUACUGGAUUUUUUUCUUUCAGGGUUUCACCAGGAAUUUUCAUUUUAUUUGCAAAUACAAAUUUACUUAUCUGAGAAGAUGAGCAUCUGUGAAUCAGAAUCAUUACCCAAAUUCGAAAGAGCAAAAGAUGAACCGGAAAUUCUGGCACAUAUUUGGUAAUGCAAGUGCAGUGAACUAUUCUCAUGUAUCAGAAUAUUAGAAAAUUUUGUGCAUAGAUAAAGGAAAAUGAUAUCAAAGAUCCCAGGAGAGAAAUUAAAUAUAUCCACUCAUCUCAGCCAGACACAACUUUUGCAAAUGCAGGGGGAUUAUAUUGGAAAUGAUACUUGAGUGAAUGUGUGUACAACAUGGACAAAAGACAACAACUAAAUGAAUUAAACCGUCUGUUUAUCAAUGAUUUCCAUAACCCCGAUAGACGAAAAACAUCUUGGACCUUUGUAGUAGAAGGAUUGCUAGGUUCAAAAAUUUUACCUUGCUUCAAAGCAAAUGGCAAUUGGAGAUAAUCAAAAGCCUCGAGUAUAAGCUCCACAUCUUCUAAUAAUACUUCUUCUGCAUUACAGAGAUCAGAAUUCACUUUUUAAUACUUAUUCAAAUCUAUACAGACAUGAAAAUUGAAGAAUAAAAGAUGCGGAAUAAGAAAUUGGUAUAAGACAUAUAUACUGGACGAAUGGUCAUCCUUUGACUAUGAAAAUGUGAAACAUACAAAUUCAUCUUCUUCUAUACAAGAUACAAGGAUGAAAAGAAAAGGCCCACAAACAGUAUUUUCAUCUAUCCCAAAUACCAAAUGCUGUAGUGUAUUUCUCUCCCUUUUCGGCCAAUAGUGACACAUCCCUUCUCUCUUAAACUUCAAUGACUGCUCAGCGUCGGAACAAAAAGGCAGUCCUAUUCUACCACUUCCUUUCAUCUGUCACGCUCUUUACUCUGACCAAAGUUAUGAGUAUCUCUUAAAAUACCCAGGACACUAACCGCAAGAUAGGACUAUCAAUCACUCGAUUUCCAGCCUGUAAGUGAUUCACCUACUGCUAUACUGUUUGGUUUUUGUAAAACUCUUCCGGAAUACAACUUCAAGUUCUUAGCAUUUUAUACAAACAUAUAUACUAUAGACAAAGUGUCAAACCCAUUAAAUAACCUCAGAGUAAACCCAGAAUUGUGUUGGAAAUCCUAUUACCACCUGACUAGCACUACAGCGAUAUUUGGUGUGUACACUGAAUUCCAUGAUCACCUGUAUAAUCUAUUGAAUUUUCUUUCUCCAUUACAGACAGUUCAUAUUAGCAUAAAACAAGAUGAUAGAUUUGGGUUCAGUUAAGUUACCAUUCCAUAAGGUGAUCUUCAGCUUCUCCUUUUGAAUAUCCUUAAUAUAUUGGCCUAGAUAACCCAAUAUCAGUUGUCUGACGAGGCCUUCAAACAUCGUAGAGCAAAACGAAUGAUCUUGAGUUCCCCACGCACUGCAUACCAAUCCACUGACUGAUUAGGGUUUCUAUGAAAUGCGAAAAACAGACGUUAAUUUGAAAAGUAGACGGAGAACGGAACAAGAAAUUUUCGCCGGAGAAAGAGAGAAAGAACGAUGGCGUUCGAAUGCCAAGACACUGCCUACAAUGAUAUUGGGUCUUAGAAUUGGAACUCCCUACAGCCCAACACCACUUCCCUCAAAUUGGCCCAAGUUUGUAAGUGGGGAAAUCACACAGGCAUAUAACAAGUUAAAAUUUGAGAAAAUUAUGGAGUUAAGUAAAUUUAUACUAUCUAAUUAGUGAUCAUAGUUAUAAUUUAAUAUAAUUAUCACUAGCGAAUAAUAUUAACCAUCAAUUACCUCUUUAUUUGGUUUGUAUUUGUAUACGAUGGUUUGUAUUUGUAUAUGAUAAUGAUUUCCUUUAGUUCUUCAGUUUUUUCACCAUAUAAAUUCAAUCUUUUUGUGUAUAAACGUGUAGUUUUUGAAUUUUAUAUAAUAUAAUUUGUAUAACAUUUAAAGUUCAUAUGUUUAAGUUUGUAUUACUUCAUUAUUUUGAGUUUUACCAUAUCUGUAUAACUUCAAACUUUAUACUAAUUAAUUAUACAAAAACACGCAAAUUAUACAAACGUACCUGCGAAUUAUACAAACGAGAUGUGAAUUAUACAAAUUAUUGUCCUCUCUUGCUCGCCUCUCUCCUCCCUCUCUCGAUAUCGCUCGCCUCUCUCUUCUCUCUCCAAAUAUCGCCCGUCUCUCUCCUCUUGCUCCAAAUCUCAACCGCUACAUAUAUAAAUACAUAUGUAUAAUAUACAAUUAUCUAAUUGAUAUACAUAUACAAUACACCUCUCUCCCACUUUCCGCUCUCUCUCACUCGCCUCUCUCCUUCCUCUCCCAAUAUCGCUCGUCGUUCUCAUCCCUAUAACAUGUAGCUACAACUCCUAAAUAACAAACUAUAGAUAUGGGGCGUAAUUAAGUCAUUUUUGAGUGGCUAGUUCCCUAAAGAAAAUUAGGGAAAACUAAGCAAAUACCCCAAUAAAAGCAAAAUAAUUACAAAUAUAUACCCUUUUCAUACCCCACUGAAUAAUUACACUAUAUACCCACAAUUAAUUUCUCUUAACUGAUACUAAAUAAGUGUCGUAUAAUAUAUUUGUAUAAAUAAGGCUGAUAAUUUAACUUAUUUAAUACUAAAUUAGUAAAUUAAUAUCAUUAAGAUUUCUUGUUUAAAAAUUACUCAUUAGUAAAUUAUACAAUAAUUGAGAAAAUCCACUUGAGAAAAGCAAGUGGCAUAUAAAAAAUAGUUGAGAAAAGCAAGAAAUCUCAUAAGAAGUAAAAAAAAAAUUGACAUAUAAGCGAAAGUACAUCAAAGUUUUGACAAGCCAUUUAUUACUUCAAAGGGAGUGGUCGGGAUGUAACCUUUAGACUACAUACAUAACAUUUAGACUACACACAAAGUCUGAAACUAACACAUACGAAAGCAAUAAAAGUAACAUUGUCCUCGAAUUAUGAUGGUCACCAAGUCUUCAAUCUUGAUGAUGAUUAACUAUCCACGAACGGUAGGAGAGGAAUCGUCACAUCCUAACUCAGUGAAAUAAUGUAGGCACAAGUAUGCAUUAGUACAUGGAACGUACUAAGUAUGAGAGGAAUGUAAUAAAACAUGAGACAUAAUCAUAAAUGGACAUUAUCGAAAACAUGAUAUGCAUGACUAAGCUGGCAUGGUAAAAACUUUCAAAUAGAAUCAUAAUCAUAAACACGGUUAAUGCAUCUUGAAAUCAUAAAAAAAAAAGUUCUAUAAAAUACUUUAAAGGUAACUUAGUUCAUUUUGUGGGAUAUCUAAUCUUAACCGACAUAGACUAUGUGAGUUAUAACAUGAAAUUCGGUGUCUUGAUCCAAUGCCGAAAAGGGAUGUCCAACCUGUCCACAUAAACUUCUAGAAUAUGUGAAUUUCCUAGAUAAUACAUCCUAAGGAGGCACACUGUUAGGGACAAGUAGAUUGCUACUACAGACUCAACCUUUAUUAAUGGAAGAGACUCCAUCCAAUGUCUUUAGGUGCAAGUAGAAAUUCCAACAUAAUAGUCAUAAACAUAAAAUCAUCAUCAUCCAUAGAAAAUUAUAAUCAAGUUACUAAUAAUACAAGUUAGAAACAUCAUAGAGUAGCUCCAUAAACAAUGGUGUGAGAAAACCUUUCACAAUUCAUGAUUUCUUAAGUAUGUGAGAAAAUUCUUUCACAAUUAAUCAAUGCUUAUCUUAAGCAACCUAAAUAAUGAUCAAUCUUGUACGUAAAUCAAGCAUAAGUUUGUAAAAACAUCAUUAAUAGAUUCAUAACUUUUCUUCAAAUUCAUGCAAUUUAGGAUUCAUAAUAAAAAUCAUAAAUCAUACAUGGGUUCACAUGAAAUUAGUUGAAAAGCAUCUAACUGAGUCUCAAUCAUCAAAAUGAAAUCAUAAUCAAUCAAUUGAAUCCAUACAAAUAGAACUCAUAAAGAAUUGAAUCUAAUCAAUUUCAAAAAAUUGAAUUGAAGAAUUAAAGAAACUUUGGAGACUCAAUGGAUAAAUAAAACCUAUUGAUGAUCUCCCUUCAUACCUUGAUUGAAAAACUAGAAAAUGAUGAAUAAAAGAAACUUGAUCUUGAAGAACCCUAGUUUCUUCUUCCUUGAUAUAUAAAGAAGAUUUUUGGAGAGUACCUUGGAGAGAAUUUAGGAAUUAUAAGAAAUGAAACAGUUGGGAAAUUUCUAAGGGUGAUGGAAAAUUAUAAGACAGAUUUAAGAGUACGACGAAUUAGUAUAGGUAUUAAGUACAUAAAAAAGACUCAAAUAUCCUCAAACUAAAACCUAUCAAUGGAGUGAUAUGGAAUUACCUACAGUUCGUAUAACUUUUUACCGACAGUAUUGGUUGUCCAUAGAACUUGAUACUAGACUUAAAAUUAUAAAUAGUUUUCUUUAGUCUAUUUUAUAAUCCGUCUAAAGUUCCACGAACCGUAAACACAACCGUAGAUUCUAUGGACCAAAAUCCUUCCAAAUUUGAAGUCAAGUUCCAUGAGACAAUCUAUGAGUAGAAUCUAUGGACCAAAAUCCUUCCAAGUUUGAAGUCAAGUUCCAUGAGACAAUCUAUGACUCAUGAAAACUUCCACAACCCGUACAACCUUCUGUAUGCCUAAAAUUCAUAAUUUUAACUAAGACUGAAACACCUUCUACAACUCCUUUCCUACGAGUCGUAGAACUUUCUACAAUCUGUAAACAGAACCUAUAAAUUUGGACCAGCGGUCUACAAUGCAUCUUUUCUUUUUUCGAACUGUUACAUCGCAACUAAAAUCACCCCAAUCAAAGCUCCCAAGCUCAAGAUAUCAAGUUUUGAAAAAUAGUUUUAUGAGCUGAAAAUCGAGUUGAUCACAAUAUAACAAGUAAGUUAAAUGACCACUGUGAAUGCAAACACGUGCCCACGAUAGCGGUAGUGUAACUCAGUUAACUCAGCCAUUUUUCUACGAUCGCAGAGUUUAUCUCGUGAAUGUGAAGGGUCAGGGACCUAACCAUCUGCAAACACAGGCCCCAUCUUUUAAAUGCAGUAACCAAGACACUGUAUAUUUACUAAUACAACACCAGGCUCGCGCGGAGAUCAAAAUCAUUGGCCUUUGCGAACAUGACACUAGGUGUGCGAAUGUGAUGAACAUAGAGUGUUGCACCAAUCCACACUUCAAAAUGUGCAAGAUGGCUCGACGGGGCUCAAGAUUGUUCCAUCAUCACCAACCCUAAACCUCUAGCAUAUAUAUUUAUUGAAAGUUUAGAUAUAUAUUCUAAGUUAUUUUUUGGUGAAGCUGCCGAUGGACAAGCACGAGAGAAAAUAUAUGAUGAGUUGGUCCUACUUUUCAAUAGGCUGUCAAUCAAUAUUCAUGAGAAGACUAGUUAAUUGAAUAGAGGUACAUUGAAUAAGGCAACAAAAAUUCUAUUGGUUAAUAUGAUAACUAGUAUAUAGGCACAUAUCGCAUCUAUGAACCACAAGUUUAGUGAGCUCAAUGGUUUUUUUAUGGGUCAGGUGCAAGCUCAAGUUCAUUAAGUUCAAGAAGCUCAAUUAUUCUGCAAAAUCUAUGGAGGUACCCAUACAAUUGAUUUGUUUAUAUCUAAUCAAGAGUUCAUAUAUUUCACAGGCAAUGCAAGUUGAGGUACAACAUUUUAAAAUCUUAGAAAUACCUAUAAUCCAAAUUGGAGGAACCACCUAAAUUUCUAAAAAGGUGCAAAUCAAAAACAAAAUCAAUAUUGACAGUUAGAUAUCACAAUGAAGCAGUAGCAAUUUAAUAGCAAAGGCAAAUUAUAAUAUCUAUUUUGUGAAUUUCUGAAUAAGGAGCUCUUCACUUCAAAAAUUACAAAUGUGGAGAACCAACCUCAAACUUAAGAUACUUAUUUCUUAAAUGGAAUUGAUUAUGUUAGGUUAUUAGCAUUUUAAUAUUAAUAUUUAACAUAUUAAAUUGCUUUAUUUUGGAGUUAUAAGAAUGAACAUUGGAAUGGAUGACUUCUAUAUCAUCCAUUAGCAUUGGUUAUCCAUCAAUGUAUUUCAUUCUUAAUUCCUCCAUUACUCUUUGUAACAUAUGUAACUCCCAUUGUAACCUAUGUAACUCCCAUUGUAACCUAUGAAACUCCUAAGGUCAUUAUCUUCACUAUUUACUACCUCCAUUAUCUUCUUAUUCAUUGCUAGGAAGACUUCUUGUAGUAUAAAUAGUGGUAGUCUUCAUUUGCUUUUAGAUACAUACAAUUCAUAAGAGAAAACAAAGAGUGAAAGAGUUAGUCUAAAAGAGAGUUCUUAUUAGUUGAAGGGAGAUGUUCUUUUUUUAUGGAGCUUUAGACUCAACUCUUGUUCAGAGUUGUUGAGUUAUACUUUGUGAAGGCUGUUGUAUCCUGGAGGGGACAAGUCAAAGAGGACUACUGCUGGAUCGGUGAAAACAUUUGUUGCAGUGGGCUUGAAUCUCCUUAAAUAGAGCGAGAUAUUCGCGCAUCAGCCUGAAGAGAUUACUUUCUUCAUUUUUAUUUUCAAUUUGUAAUCUUGCAAUUUUAUUAUCUUGUAAGUUUUUUCACUAACAAUUUUAAGGAGAAUUCAAUGAUGACUACAAUUGAAAAAAUUGCAGAUGUCAAUAUGGGAGAUCUUAACAAGCCAUUUCGGUUCAAUGGUAACCAUUUCAAGAGAUGGAAUGGUAAAGUACUCUUGUACUUAAGUCUUCUCAAUGUUUCUUAUGUAUUAACUGAGAAGAAUCCAAAUAAAGAAGACAUCACCACUAUGAAUGAUGAUGAAACUAUUUCUCAUCUAGAGAAAGUGGAAAAGUACGAUGGUGAUUCCUAUAAGUGUCGGUAUUAUCUUCUUAAUUGUCUAUCUGAUAAUUUUUAUGGUUAUUAUGAUAGAACUUACUCUAGUGCAAAGAAAAUUUGGAAGUCAUUGCAGAGUAAGUAUGAUACCGAAGAGGCUGGAGCGAAAAAAAUAUGCAGCUAGUAGAUUUUUUCAUUUCCAAAUGGUGGACAACAAAUCAGUGGUAGAUCAAGCUCAAGACUUCAUCAUGAUUGUUGGAGAGCUUAGGUCCGAAGAGGUUAAAUUGGAGAUAACCUUAUUAUUUGUGGCAUAGUGGAUAAACUUCCACCUUCUUGGAAGGAAUAUCAAAAACUAUGCGCCACAAACAAAAGGAAACCUCUCUUGACACCUUGAUAAUGAAAAUCCGCAUGGAAGAAGAAGCAAGGGGCCAAGAUGCACUUUUACAAACAGAAGAGAACAACAUCACAUCGAAGGUAAAUUUAAUUACUUCGAAUAAUGCUACUCCUGAAACUCACAAAAAUACCUCUUUAAAGCCUAAGAAGAACAAAUUCAAGAAAAAUAAUGGUAGACCUCCCAAGAAAAAUAAUGGUGAAAAUCAACAAGUUCAAGAAAAGGGACCAUGCUUUGUUUGUGGCAAGAGUGGGCAUAUUGCUCGAUUUUGCAGAUUCUGGAAACAUGGUCCUAACCCUCAGGCAAACGUUAUCGAAGAACCUUUUUGUGGCAGUGAUUAUCGACAUAAAUAUGGUUGAGAAUGUUGAUGGAUGGUGGGUUGAUUCUGUUGCAAACCGUCAUGUCUGUUAUGACAAAGACUGGUUUAAAAAUAUACUCAUUUUGAGGAGCCCAAAACCAUCAUGCUUGGUGAUUCUCACACUACUCAAGUGCUUGGAAAUGGAGAUGUUGAAUUGUGUUUUACUUUUGGAAGGAUAUUAACAUUGAAAGAUGUACUUUAUAAUCCUUCUAUGAGAAAAAAUUUGAUGUCUAGUUUUCUUCUUAAUAAAGCAGGCUUUAAACAGAUUAUUGAAUCUGAUCAAUAUGUAAUAGUGAAGAAAGGUAUUUUUGUGAGGAAGGGGUAUGUAUGUGAUGGGAUGUUUAAGUUGAAUGUUGAAAUGAAUAAAACUUCUACUUCUGUUUAUAUGCUUUCUUCUACUAAUUUUUGGCAUGCUCGUUUAUGUCAUAUUAAUGAUCGUUAUGUUGGACUCAUGAGUAGUUUAGGAUUAAUCCCAAUGGUUAAAAAGAAUUUUGAAAAGUGUGAGGCUUGUAGUAAAGCCAAGAUCACUAAAAGGCCUCAUUUUCAAGUUGAAAGAAAAACUGAUUUGUUAGAAUUAGUUCAUACUGAUAUUUGUGAACUUGGUGGAAUUCGAACUCGUGGAGGUAAUAGAUAUUUUAUCACUUUCAUUGAUGAUUUUUCUAAGUUUACAUAUCUUUACUUGAUGAAAAAUAAAAGUGAUGCUUUUGAAAAUUUCAAAACUUAUCUCAAUGAGGUUGAAAAUCAGUUUGGAAGAAAAAUAAAAAGAAUUAGAAGUGAUAGAGGUCAUGAAUAUGAUUCAAAUGAGUUUAAUUCUUUUGUUAGAUCAUUGGAAAUAAUUCAUGAAACUACUCCUCCUUACUCUCCUUCGUCUAAUGGAGUAGCAGAAAGAAAAAAUAGAACUUUGGUUGAAUUGACUAAUGUCAUGCUUAUUGAGUCACAUGCACCUUUAAAUUUUUGGGGUGAAGCUAUCUUAACUGCUUGUUAUGUAUUGAAUCGUGUGCCUCAUAAAAAGUCUAAAUUGACACCUUUUGAAUUGUGGAAAGAUUACAAGCCAAGUUUGGGAUAUCUAAGAGUUUGGGGUUGUCUAGCCUUUGUGAGACUAAUGGAUCCCAAGAUUACAAAGUUGGGUAAGAGAGCAACUACUUGUGCUUUUCUUAGUUAUGCUUCAAAUAGCACAUCCUAUAGAUUUUUUAAUCUUGAAGAUAAUAUUGUAAUAGAAUCUGGUGAUGCUAUUUUUCAUGAAAAUAAAUUUCCUUUUGAUACUAAAAAUAGUGGGGGUCAAAGGAUUGAACAAAAUAUUUUGUCACUACCUAGUUCUUCUACUUCAACUUUGAAAAAUAAAGAAGUUGUUGAUUUUGAUUUAAGAAGAAGUAAAAGAGCUAGAGUAGAAAAAGAUUUUGGUCCUGAUUUUUAUGUGUUUAAUGUUGAAAAUGACCCCCUAACUUUGAAAGAAGCAUUAUCUUCACAUGAUUCUAUUUUUUGAAAAGAGGCUGUAAAUGAUGAAAUGGAAUCUCUAAUUUCUAAUAAAACUUGGAAGUUAGUUGAUUUACCACCGGGUUGUAAAACAAUUGGUUGCAAAUGGGUCUAAGGAAAAAGUUGAAACUGGAUGGUUCUAUUGAUAAAUACAAGGCUAGGCUAGUUGCAAAAGGUUUUAAACAACUAGAAGGCCUAGAAUUUUUUGAUACUUUUUCUCCGGUAACAAGAAUUACAUCCAUUAGACUUUUAGUUGCUAUAGCUGCAAUUUUUGAUUUGCAAAUUCAUCAAAUGGAUGUAAAAACUGCAUUUCUAAAUGGAGAUCUAAAUGAAGAAAUUUAUAUGGAUCAACCCGAGUGUUUUGUUGAAGCAGACCAAGAAAGCAAAGUAUGUAAACUUACUAAAUCCCUAUAUGGUUUGAAACAGGCACCAAAGCAAUGACAUGAAAAGUUUGAUUCCUGCAUGAUUGAAAAUGGUUUUAAAACAAAUGAGUGUGAUAAGUGCAUAUAUUAUAAGUCUUGGAAUAAUUCACAUGUGAUCAUUUGCCUAUAUGUUGAUGAUUUGUUGAUCUUUGGCUCUAACAUGAAUAUUAUUGAUGAAGCUAAAAAUGUUCUUAGAAGCGAUUUUGAUAUGAAAGAUCUUGGUGAGACAAAUUUUAUUCUUGGAAUAAAAAUAACAAGAACAUGUGAGGAGAUUUUCCUUGACCAGUCACAUUAUGUUGAGAAAAUUUUGAAAAAAUAUAACUUUCAUGAUUCCAAACAUGUUGCUACUCCUUUUGAUUCAAGUGUUCGUUUAUUUCCUGUUGAAAGUGAAAAUGAUGUAAUAAAUCAAAAGGAAUAUGUUAGUAUAAUCGGAAGUUUGAGAUAUGUGACUGAUUGCACUAGGCCUGAUAUUGCAUAUGCAGUAGGAGUACUUGGCAGGUUUACAAGCAAGCCAGGUAAUGAACAUUGGCAUGCUAUAACAAGAGUUAUGAGAUAUUUGAUUAGAACAAAAAAUUAUGGUUUGUUCUAUAAAAAAUAUCCUGCUGUACUUGAAGGCUUUUGUGAUGCGGAUUAGAAUACUUUGUCAGGUGAUUCCUGUUCUACCACUAGUUAUGUCUUUACUUUAGGUGGUGGUGCUGUUUGUUGGAGAUGAAAAAAGCAAACUAUAAUUGCUAACUCUACCAUGGAGGCUGAACUAAUUGCUUUAACUUCAGUUAGUGAGGAAGCGAAUUGGUUAAGAGAUUUAUUGUUUCAAAUUCCUUAUUUGAAAAAUCAAUUCCUCCUAUUUCAAUUGAUUGUGAUAGCACCGCUGCAAUUGGUAGGUUCAAAACCGUUAUUACAAUGGUAAAUCCAGACCUAUAAGGAGGAAACACAGUAAUGUAAGAUCUUAUUUGACAAAUGGUACCAUUAAUGUUGAUUAUGUCAAAUCUUAUGAUAAUCUUGCAGAUCCUCUUACAAAGACCUUAACAAGAGAAAAGGUCUGGAGCACAUCGAGGGGGAUGAGAUUGAAGCCUACAAAUCCUUGAGUCAUAUAUGAGGAAACCCAACCUGGGGACUAGAGAUCCUAUAACCAGGUUCAAAGGGAAAAACUAAUCAUAUGAUGACUUGUUGUGAAAAAUGCACUUUUUUUUCCCUCCCUAUGAUGUGAGUGCAUUAUUUCUUGUAGUUUGUGAAGGUUGAGUUGAUAAAACUCUUAAUGAAUAUCUGUAGCCCGUAUGGGUGGAGUGUUAAUCUUACAGGAGCACUCUCGAUAGAUUUCAACUAUGUGAUGUGUGGAAGUAGGCCGCUUCCUAUGAGAAUGGGGCUUAUUCUCAAAUGCACUCAUGAAACCGGGAUAACACAUGGCCAUAACGUGCUGGCUGUUAAAUCUCAUGUCAACACCUUGAUUAUUAUGUGUGAGCAGUGAUAUUUUAUUUCCCUUAAGCAGUCAUAGUUCAAGUCUGAGACCACUACGACUCUGGAGUAAAAGUUACUAUUUCACUAAGUUGAGGUUAAAUGCAGAGCACACCUUCAUUAAGCAUAGUAGUAUUUCUUCAACUGAUAUACUCUCUUAUUUAAAUAUUAAAAUGAGUGGGGAUUGUUAGGUUAUUAGCAUUUUAAUAUUAAUAUUUAACAUAUUAAAUUGCUUUAUUUUGGAGUUAUAAGAAUGAACAUUGAAAUGGAUGACUUCUACAUCAUCCAUUAGCAUUGGUUAUCCAUCAAUGUAUUUCAUUCUUAAUUCCUCCAUUACUCUUUGUAACAUAUGUAACAUAUGUAACAUAUGUAACUCCCAUUGUAACCUAUGUAACAUAUGUAACUGCCUACGAAACUCCUAAGGUCAUUAUCUUCACUAUUUACUACCUCCAUUAUCUUCCUAUUCAUUGCUAGGAAGACUUCUUGUAGUAUAAAUAGUGGUAGUCUUCAUUUGCUUUUAGAUACAUACAAUUCAUAAGAGAAAACAAAGAGUGAAAGAGUUAGUCUAAAAGAGAGUUCUUAUUAGUUGAAGGGAGGUGUUCUUUUUUGUGGAGCUUUGGACUCAACUCUUGUCCAGAGUUGUUGAGUUAUACUUUGUGAAGGCUGUUGUAUCCUGGAGGGGACAAGUCAAAGAGGACUACUGCUGGAUCGGUGAAAACAUUUGUUGCAGUGGGCUUGAAUCUCCUUAAAGAGAGCGAGAUAUCCGCGCAUCAGCCUGAAGAGAUUACUUUCUUCAUUUUUAUUUUCAAUUUGAAUCUUGAAAUUUUAUUAUCUUGUAAGUUUUUUCACUAACAGAUUAUGUAGUAAAUUCAUUGAAUUUGAGCACUCAAAAUAAGUGUUUAAGAGACUAGAAUUGAAAAUUCUAAAUCUAAAUUAUAAUUUAAAAACAACUAUUCAACUUUACAAAUGAUAUUCAAAUCAAAAUUUGAUAUAUGGAAUUAAAUUUUCUAACUAAUAGGUAAAAUGUUCUUAUACUUUGAAUUUUCAAACUGUUAAUGUGAGGGGCUAAUUUGAAUUGAUAAAAACUAAAGUUUUGACGCUAAGGUGUUUUGAAAUUAUAUUUUUUCUACAGAAAUUCAGAUUGAAUAUUGCCAUUUUAAAUAUAUUAAGGCCACUAGUAUACUCGUAUUAAAUGCUUCGCACGAUAAUAAAAGGUUAAAAUAAUUUUUAGCAAUCUUUCUUUUUAUUGGACAAUUGUUAAAUGUGAAGCUCUAUAAAAAUAAUGUUAAUCCUGAACAACUUGUUUAAAUCAAUAUAAAAUCUAGUUAGUUUAUUUGUCUGUUAAAACAUAAGUUAAUCAAACUUAUAUUUGUCAAAUUAUUAUUGUAAGAUGCAAUAAAAGAGGUUGAUAUUUUAAAUUAGAAAGAAUUCGUAGAUGAAUAAUAUAUUUCAUUAGGAGCUUAAUACAAAAGUUUGACAUUGACUUUGAAAACUAGUAAUAAUGUUUACAAGUUCGCUUUUUCGUUUUGAAUCAUAUUAUGAACAAUUAAAACACUCCUCAACACCUGAUUACCCUCUCAAAUCAGUUUGUAUUUUCGAUAUUUCGCUAUUAACCUCCUUAAAAUUUAAAGAACAUUCUAAACUGAUUGGAACAAAAUAUUCAAUUUCUUAUCGCUCUAUGAUGGAAAUAGACAUAUACAAUUAAAGUCAACACUAAAAUAGAAUUUUAAGGAACAAAAAAGAAGAGAAAGUAAGGAGGUGUAAUUAAAAAAAUAAUAUAUUUUAAGUUUUGCAAAAAAUUACAUAAUGAAAAAUAGAGUAGUGGAAGAAAAAAUUGAAGAGAAAAUUACAAUAAUAAUAAUUUGUGUCACUUACAAAAAUAGCUAUACUUUUAGGGUUUAUUAGAGUGAAAUAGCUAUAAAUAUAAUAUUUUUUCAAAAAAAUAGCUAAACUUUGGGUUAAAAAAUGUUCAAGUCUAUAAAUAUUUCAUUUUUUAAAUACAAAAAUACAUUCAAAAUAGUUUCCCACUAAAUGAGGUUAAAUUAGUUAUUGUAACGGACAAUGCUAUUUUCAGCCCUUAAAAUCCACUAACUUGACACUUUAAAAAAUUGUAACUAACCUAUACCUAGGAUUCUGAUCAUUAAAAAAAAAAGAUUCUGAUCAGUUUAGAAAUAGAAAUUAUGUUCUUUUUUUUCUUCUUCAUUUAACGCCAAAAAUAAAAAUACAAUUUGAUGGCUACUAUUAAUAUUUUGAUCCAACAUUUCGAGAAAUAGAGCGAAGAAAAUUGUUGUGUAGAAUAUAUCAUUGAUGGGAUAAUUGAAGGAAUAUGCCUCUUAUUCUGAUUUAGUUGAUUUUAUUUCAAUACGAUUGAACAUCAAUCUUACAAAAAAAGUUUUUGAAAAUUAAAUUUCAUUGUCGAAGGUAACGACACGCCUAUGAAAAUAAGUAAUGCGGGUAUGCGUAUAUAUGUUUAGUUGAAAAAUAUCAACACUCAAUUUGGAGUAUAUCUCUUGUAUGUAAGUAUUUUUCAUAUUGAUAUAGUAUAUUUUGAUUCUGAAGAUACUUUCAUUUAAGGUGAAGUGUUGCAACUUGAAUACAAUAAAGAAUUAAUUGGUAUGAAUGAUACAUUGUCAAUUGUUUCAACUUGUAGCGAUCAACCAAUAGAUGUAUUUGAUGGUGGAAAUGAUUAAUUACUAACCGAUCGCAACAUGAGAUAAUGGUGGAUCAAAUAUACAUGAAUAAGUUGACAUUGAAGGAUGUGAUAGAAAAAUAUUCAAUAGAAAAAAGGAUUAAAUUCUUGGUUGAGAGGUCAAACUCUAUUAGGUAAACUGUUGUUAAAUUUGUUGCAUUUUAAGUAUACUUAUGUUUGUAGAUGCAAAGAAAAACUAGCAAAAAAAAUAAUAUUGUAUUCACAGUUAUACCCUUGUAUGUCACUCUAAAAAGUACGCAUUGUUGAUGAAAGCAUUAAGUAUUAACAAGUCGAAGAUGGUCAAAGUUAAAAAUUUUAACUCUGAACAUUCAUGUCCUUUAAAGGAUGGGGUGCAUUCUGAUUGUCGUGCAACAAGUGGAUUGAUUGGAGGAAUAAUCACACCUAAACGGAGGAAUCACAAGAGUAAGUACAUUCCAAAUGAUAUCAUGAUGACAUUAUAUUGGACUUGGGUAUUGAUAUUAACUAUAUGUUGGCAUAUCAAGCAAAAGAGAAAGGCAUUGUAAUCAAUAAUGGGGAAACCAACUUCGUUUUAUGGGAAGCUACUUCGGAUAAGACGUGUUCUAGUUCAUAUAUUCGAAUGAAGAAGCCAAACUUGCAUGGAAAGAGGUAUACCAUCCAUUUUUUAAUACUUUUUCUUGGCAUCCAUUUUUUUGCUAUGCUUUUGACUAAUUUGGAGAAAACAUCUUAACUCAACUAGAUCAAUUUGUAUCUUUGAAAUCGAUGAGCUCUUCUUCUCACCAUAAUUGAUGAACGUAUUGAUAAAAUAAAAUAUUACGAAUUUGGCAUCAUCAUCAUCAAUCCCAUCACCCGGCGAUACCUUUUUUUUGUACUCACUGAUCAACUUUACCUUCCUGUUAAUACUUUUAACUCAAUAGUACUGAUUGAUUAAUUUAUUCAGCUCGUUUGUGUCAAAUAAAAAUCGUCUUCAUGAGCAAAGCAAUUCAACCCAGUAAACAAAGUGUGGUAUGAUUUAUACGAAAGAACAUUUCAUCCAUGAAACUGUCCUCCAAUUCACAUAUUGAUCUUAGGCGUAUUUAUAUGCCUAACAACCAUUUUUAUCUCUUGUAUAUAUAGCCGAGUGAGAAUAUUUUCGAUGGUUGAGUCAAGCAUUUAGAGUCGUUUUGAUUCUGCAUCUUCUAACCAAUAUGAUUAGAUGUUUCAGGCCGAAGAUCAUUGGAAAACGAGCUAAAUUUGGGCACCAGAUUAAAGGUUGGAAAGAAGAAGAAGAAGUGGCAAAAACAAAAAACCAAGAAGUUGAAAAGUGCACUAGCAUCCGUGUCGCGGACGCACUCCCCCCAAGUAGUGAAGGAGCUCCUCAUAACAGGGGAGUUCGCGGUGUGGGUGCGUCGCGGAGGCAGAUCAAUGAUGCAGAAAAGGAACUCCCCCAUAAUAGGGGAUUCAGUGAUAGAGUGGGUCGCGGGGGUCGUUACACUAAUGAGCAGAAUCAAGCGAGGGAAUACGUCUGCGGUUGCGGACCUGGACAUGAAAAUCGUCCCACGUGUUUAUUUUGGACUAUAAAUAGUUUAAGUAUCUCGUAUUGCAUACUAUACUUUUAUUAAAAAAGGAAGCUGAGGCAAAAGACGAUUUUUGUACUAAAUUUUAGGGUUUUUCUUAUCCUUCUUCAUCUUGGUAAAGACUUGUAUGAUUCUAAUACAUUCCAUGUUGUUAUUUUGUAUUAUGAGUAGCUAAAAUCCCUUGUUCUAGGGUUGUAGCUAUGAAUGAUGGUUUAAUGUGAAUUUGUUUCUUGUGUGAGAAGGGUUGUUGUCUAUUUUUUGCUUGCAUGCUCAUUUCAUUAUUUUAAUGUCUGAUCAACAUUAGAAUAAAUUAGUGUCCACUCUUGAAUUCGGAAGAUGAAUAGAUGGAUAGAGAAAAAAAUGCAAGAGGUAUAUUCAAUCUAGAGUGAGUUCUAAAUUGUUUUGUGGGUAGGAUAGUUUUAUACUUAUGCACCACAUUUGGUUGAAAUGCAAGAAGAAUAUUUAGUGCAAUAUUAUUUGUUCAUACUUAACCCCGCCUGACGAUGUAGUUAUGUUUUCAAUAAUGGUAGACGAUUAGAAGUCGAAAGUUUAUGAUCGUAAGAUGAACCUUGCCAACCCGCAAUGAGUUAACCCUUUGAACCUUGGAAUAGGAACACAUUGAAACCCUGGGAUGUCUUUCCAACUUGUGAAGUUACUUUGUUGUCAUUUACGUAUAGUAGUUAAUUCUUGUUAAGGUUUAAGUAGUAGUUUAAACAAAUUUCUCAACCUAAUGAAUAUUGAGUGAAUUUAGAUAGUCAUUGUAAAUUGUUAUUCGCUGAUUUAAAGUCCCUUGGGUACGAACAUUAAACUCGAAAGAGUCCAUUUACUACUUGAGUGAUCAAUGCACUUGCGUGCGAUUUUGGAUGCAACACAUAUCAUCAAAGACCUAAAGAUUUGUGUUGCACCCCACACACGUGCAUUUUGGUAUAUGCUCCAAUACAUGUAUCUUUGAAUAGGUUGAAUUGGGUCAGUGUAAGCUUCCCCUUCAAAUCUGUAACUAUGUUAUGGUUCACAUAAACCUACACGUGCGAGGAUUCGAUCGUGCUAGCUAACACAUAAAAUUUGAUACCUUGUCAUUAGGAAAUACUAAAAUAUGAAACAACAAUUUUUUAACAUAAGUAAUUGCUUAGUAAUUUGAUUUUAUGCAUACAUACAAGACAACACAUUCAAAUAGAAGAUGCAUUGACACAAAAUAAAAUUGAUGCAACUAAUAAUUUGAAAUGUAUCCACAUAUUCAAUUAAUUAUCAGUUAACUUUAUUCUUUUCCAAAAUAAGAAUUACUACAUAACCCGAAAUACACUAGAAUGUAUUCAAAUUGUUAGUUGAUAUAUAAUCUUUCCAUUCCAUUAAAUCACAUUAACACUUCAUACAUUCACACACACGUUCUCACGCAAAAUUAAAUGAUUAUUAUUAUGCACCAAAUACUCAGACAAAUAGCAGAAAACUGUUGAUAUGCAUAGAUAACUUAACUACCAUUUAACUACAAUCGUGUUUUUUAAAUAAAGAAAAAAAUAAGCACACCAUAAAUAUUCAAUGGUUAUAUGUUUGCCACAAUAUACUAAUUUGGAAGGUAUAUCCUCCACAUAAACUUACUUGUUCAACUUACACUACAUUCAUAUGACUACACCUUACUACAAUCAAUUUUAGAAAACAUAAUGACAACAUAACUCUAAAUACACUAGAGAGUAUUCAAAAAUGUGAAGGCAUUCAAAUAUAAAUGAAGGUAUUCAAAGUAUAAUUUUAUGUCACUGUAGACACAUAAAUUGUAUUAGAUCAAAUUCAUACAAAAUUUGAAUUAAAUUUAUGCUCAUUUGAGCUAAAUAAUUAAUUUGGGCUAUACAAAUAAAUAAGUCCAUCUUAAUGAAUUCAAAUUCAAGGUCAAUUUCACCUUGAAGCCCAAACUCAUGUCACGUGUCACAGUGACUAGGCAUCCAAGACCAACAAGGUGAGCCACGUGUCAAAAUGAGGUGGUAGUCCCAGUCAAAUGCAAGAACAAAUCAAAAUACGCCAAGUGUCAAAAUGACAUCCUUUGGUCAAUCACAAGCAACCUUGUUCACUCCCUACAACUAUAAAUAUGUCAUAGACAUGACAUUCAAGGGGGAUCCACAAAACUCUUCAAUAAGCAUUAAGCGAAUUGGAGAAAGCUACAACAUCAACAUCAAUAAUUCUUAGAAGGAGUGAUCAACGGAGUUCUUCCCGGAGAUCAACUUACAACGACGAAGCACUUUCCGACGUCCUGGAGAUCAACAACAUCUCAAGGAGGUCUAUGACUGUCACAAACUGCAAGUAUACCCUAGAAGUUAGAGAGUCCUUGUGCCGUCACACGACAAUGAGACUUCAAGAAGUCUCAUCUAAGCCUCUCGUAUCAUUCUUUACAUAAUAAACAUACUAAAAUAAGUAAGAAUUUAAAACAUUCUUCACACACGAAGAACUCUUUCAUAAACAUUACACAAGCGGAAGACUUUCAUUUAAAACAUUAAAUCUUUACAACAUCUACUCGAACCAUCUAAUCUUUAGAGUAUAAAACACUUGGGACUAAUCCCAUACAGGACAAUAAAAUAAAGACUAUGGCAUAGAGUAUAAAACACUUGGGACUAAUCCCAUACAGGACAAUAAAAUAAAGACUAUGGCAUUAUAAGGGACAAGAGGAUAUUGUCCUCGAAUCAAUGAGGACUCACUAAUACUUUAUUUUCAAGCUUUAGAAACCUAUCCAUCCUCUAUGGAACUUCCAGUUCCCUACAGUUUAGUCAAAAAGGGAAAAAAAGGGGUUAGCACAUUAGAUGUACUAAGUCUAGAAGCCAUGCAAAAACCAUGAAAAAGGUACAUUUAGUAAAUAACAUGCUUUUCAUGAAUUUCGAUUAAAACGUCAUACUAUAAGCAUAAAAACAGCAUUUAACAACUUAGAAACACAUAAGAUAACAUUUAAACCAAAUAUCAUAAUUUUAGAGUCACUUUACAGUAACUCCAUUCAAUGUUACGGUGAAGUCCCUUCACUAUAUAGUGAAGUUGCUUAUUCAUUAUCUUAGACAUAUUCUAGCAUGUAAUCAUCCCACUUAAAGUCAUCCUAAGACUCACUUAAACAACACAAAGAGAGACCGCCUAUAAAACCUCCCUAAGCAUGCCUAAAUGAUCCUCAAGACUACUUAUAAUGAGUCACAUACACACUUACAAGACAUCAAACAUAUCAACAUAUAGAUAAUAUGACAUUUCCUCAUCAAAAGAUAUCAAAAGACUUACUUAAGUAGAUCAAGAAGAUAAUGUCCAUGGUUGACCUCUUCAAGACUACCUAAAUAAUCCUUAAGACUUCCUAAGUUUGGAUAAUGUCCACAUAAACAAUCAUCUUCCCUAACUAGAGUUAUUUUUAAGACUUAUCUAGGUAAGAUAAGAAGUGACCAUUCCUAUGCCCCUUUCAUGCCUUAACUAGAUAACCCUUAACUACUCUAGAUAAGUACUUAUUGAUUUUAACAUACUUUUUUAACUUAGGUCAUUACAUUCAUUAGAUAAUUUAGAAGACAUUCAACACAUAAAGGACAUUCAAGUAAUGGUCUUGGUCAAGACCUGGGUACUCCAACUAACACCUUCAAAACCUAUUGUGCAAUGUCUAGAUAGCAGCCCAUACCACCACCUAAACUUCAUAGAACUUCUCUAAUGUAAUAGGUAUCCCAUAUGAUGAGAAUAGAAAAUAAUCGAUAUAGACCAUGAUAGCUAGAUAUGGAAUUCAGAGUUCUAACCUUCUACGAUGAAGGUGUCCUACUUGCCAAGGGUAAAACUAGGACACAUCCCAUGUAGGCACAUGGUUAAGGAAUAUGAAGGGUUGUUAUGCACUCUGGUCUCAUUCUCAAGUAGAGGUGCAUUGUACUCUAGUCUCAUUAUCAAGUAGAGCUACUUCCCAUAACAUAAUCACUCAGUGCUAGUGUUGGUUAUCAUAGAGUAAUUGACAUUUAAGGAUCACAUGAAGAGGUUCUUAUCUAUUUCAUAACCCAAUCACAUUCACACCUACCAAAGAGGUCCACUAGGGCUACCUUUCAAUGGCGACUAAGAUAGCUCAUUAUGAUUUUUUUAAGGAUUAAUAUGACGUCAUUCCAGACAAUUAACCUUAAGUCCACCAUUUCUUUACAUGAAGGAUACAUUACGACUCUCGACUUCAACAUUCAUAACAUAACCCUUACCAUGUACAUGAACUUCUUAACAUCCUCUAAGGUCUCACAUAUAUUUCAUUCAUACAUGACAAGGGUGCAAUAAUCCUACCUAGUCAAGACAUAUCAUAAUCUAAUAAAAUUAAUUCAUAUAUCAAGUAAGGGACACAAGUCUACCAAACAAGACACAUUAUUUUUUUACCUUAUCACAUAUAGCAUCAUUCUUUAAAGCACUUAGGAUGACCCUUACCAUUUUAUGUCACCUUAUACUAAUGCAACAUCAUUAAUAUAACCAUUAUAGACUCAUAUAGUCAAGUAGGAGCAAUCAUCAUCAACUCUAAGACUACACAUAUAAGCACAUAGUCAUAGUCUAACAUGAUCUCCUAAUAUACAUCAAACUUUCACAACACUAUCAUGUAGGUAGAUAUGACCAUUAUUCACAUAAUCAACUUCACAAUUCAUCAUAAUACUUCAAGUAGUUUGCCAACAAGGCUAUGAUCAUUAUAUUACUUAAAAUAACGCCGACAAGGCUACAUCAAUUACAAGUAAAGCACAUAACACCACCACCAUAAGUGAAACAUACCAAUCACAACAUAAUUGAAGUCUAAUCACAUCAAAAAUAAAAGAAAUAGGGAAGCCUACCACCACAACAUGCUCAACACCUCAAUUUGAUGCUAAAUCAUCCAAUUCAAUACCAUAAGGCCCUUACCAAUGGCCAUGAACAAUAAUUCAUUAUAGAAACUAUGAUAAUCAAUGAAACUAGGUCAAUUCAAUAAAGAUUCAUCAAUCUAAUACCACCUAGAUAUCAAUUUAAUACAAUUCUUGCAUCAUUAGAUAAUUCACAGAAAUCUACACUAUAAUUCAUAAUCAUUAAAUCAACAUCAAGUAACCCAUAACAUAGUCAAAAUAUAGGGUUCAUCCAAUUCAUGGGUUCAUAGGUAAUUUAGGUUAAAAUCGUCAAUACAAUAACAAUUUAAUCCAUAAUAAACGUUUAAAAACAAUUGAUGCAAAAACCCAUGGUAGAAUCAUAAAAUUGGACAAUUUAACUUUGAAAACUUUAGAAAUCAUCUUUGAAAUUGGCUCUAAGGUGAUAGAAAGCCUUAGAUGAAGAACUCUCAUACCUUAUUUGAAGAAACCAAUGAAAAUUGAAGAAGAAACUCCACUGAAGAACCAUCUUCAAGCUCCAUUUUCACCUUGAACUCUCAUGGAGGUCUUUGAAGAAACUUUGGGAGGGAAUGUGUUUUGAUUUAGGUGUUACGGUUAUAAUGAGAGUUAAAUGACUUAUAUAUUCUUAAAAUACCCAUAAAAACACAAAACAACCGUGCUCACAUCUUACAAAAAUUAGGGUUUUACAAUUUCACCCCUUAACUUAACUGAAAACUGGCAGGAAACAAACAUCACCAUCGAUGGUCCGUGGUCUCACCCACACCCCGUCGAUGGGGUCUCGUGGGUUGCACCUGCAACUCCUCAACCUUUAGGACAAGUGGGUCCAUCGACGAGACCCAUCGACGGGUCGUUUCCUGGUCGACUGGCCGUGUUUGGGUCAGUCGAUUGCCAUUGCCUGGCAAUGUUGAGCUCUAAGUUGGGGCCUCUUUUAGGGUCCCUUGUGGGUCCUAAAGUUUUACCUGGACGUUUCCAACCUAAUUAUGUUCUAUACGAUUUUAGGAUCUACCACGUGAGUUUUUUCCAAAACGAACACGUAAAACUCAAUGAAACAUGCAUAGACAUGCAAGGUCGUUUCAAGGCAAGCCUUUUGAACGUCAUGGACGUUAUUAAACGUUUGACCUCCAAACUUCAUGAAACUUGACACACGGUCUAUAUACACUAUAAUAACUCAUUUAAGAACCUUAUAACCUUAUGAAUCACACGUAAACACAUAAAACCACAUAUGAGGCACAUAGGUGACUUAGUCAUCGAACGUCUUGGUCGUCCCUUGACGUUUGACUUCCAAAGCACCUAAACUCUUAGAAAAUGACUCAAACCCACAUUAUAAACCAUUUAGGACCUUAGACAAUCAUGAAAACUAUGUUAGGAUCUAGUUUCACCUAAGUCAUUUUUGGGGUCUUACAAUAAUUCUCAUACGAUGAUCAUAAGUGCAACAUCUAAGGGCAAACUUGCAUCUGUAUUCUUUGAACAAUCUUCUCAAAUUAGCUCCAACUUUGGUGAUUCCGAAGAUUCAAUGGAUUCUCCAACUUCAAUGUAUUUCAAUGCUUUGAUGGCUGACUUAACUAACAUGGAUGAGAAAUUUGUGAUGAUGGAGCAAACCAUUGAGGCCUUGAAGAAAUUCGUUGAUGAUAAAAAUCUUCAUAUUGCUCAACUUAUGAACAAGUUGGAGCCUUUAUGAGUAGUUUUAUCAAAGAACACAUUGUUACUUAUUUAAACAAGUUUCAAACUAAGGGCCCGUUUGGAUGGACUUAAUAAAAGCAGCUUUAAAAAAGUACUUUUAAAAGUGCUGAAACUUAUUUUUAAAAUAAGCAGUUAUGCGUUUGGAUAAAAGUGCUGAAGUUGUUAUGUCAAACGUGAAAAGGGAAAAAUAGAAGAAAGAGAUGUUAGGGUUAUAUGGGUAAUUUGGAGAUUGUAUAAGAAUAUUAAGGGAAAAAACAUAAAAAUGUGGUCAACUUAAAACAGCUUAUAAGCUAAAAAAAAAAAGCACCCCUACCCCAGCUUUUAACUUUUGGCUUAAAAUAAGUUUUUUUUAACUUAAAAUAAGCUAUUUUGAGUAUUGCCAAACAGUUAAAUAAGUCAAAAACGAGGUUUUAAGUCAGUUUGACCAGCUUUUAAGCUGAGCCAAACAGGCUCUAAGUAAAAUAGUUUUAUAACUUUGGUCUAUAUUUAUCUUGUUCAUAUUUUAAAAUUGAAUCACCGUCUAAUUUUGAAAAUCGCAUUUGAGAACUUGAUUUAAAAUCAUAGUAGGAUAAAAGUUCAAAUAAUCUUUUGAGAAACAGAUUUAAACACCUCAAAAGAUUUAUAAAUACACAAUUACUAUUAUCGUCUAAGUUUGAAAACCACAUUUGAGAACUUAAUUUAAAAUCAUAGUAGGAUAAAAAUUCAAAUAAUCUUUUGAGAAACAGAUUUAAACACCUCAAAAAAUUUACAAAUACACAAUUACCAAUAGACUAAAAUAUUUAGCUGAAAUUAUUACUCUUUAUUUACGUGGAGAUACUUUCUAUUUCUUUUUUAAUUACUUGUUAAAAUUUUAUGAUUAGAACAUUACUUUCUAUUUUUUUUUCUUUUUAAAUUUUUUAUCUCUUGAUUUUUUGUCAUGAACAGACUUUUUCUUCAUAUUCAAUACAUUGCGUAAUUUAAUUUUUAUAUUGCAGCACGUUAAAUAUUUGAGAAGAAAAAUAACAUUAUGACUUAAUUUCAUACAUUUGUAAAUUUAUAGAUCUUGAUUUUUUAUUUUAAUUUAUAUUUUGUGUCAUACAUUUAUUAAGAUUUGAGAUAUAUUAAGUCUCCAAAUUUAGGGGCUUUAAUAUUUUCUUAAAAUCAAUUACUUCCCAAGAGAAAAUCUUAUAAAAUUAUGGUGAUUCUCUUUAUGUUUUAAUACAUUCUUACUUAAUUAUUUUAGAUUAUAAAUAAAAUCCUUUAAUCAUACUAAAUGUGUUAAAAAUCUUAGAUCGGUUUUGUGUAGUUAUACUUUAUUUUAAUAAAUCCUUAUAUAUACAUUUGUUUUUGAAAUCAUUAAUGUUGUGACAGUUCUACUUUCUAUUCUCUUAUGUUUUUAUAUAUAUUGAAAUCGUCAAGAAGUUAUUCUAUAAGUAAUUGAAAUCAUCAAGAAGUUAUUUAUAAGUAAGCAAGAGUUUUAAUGACAACUUUAUUUUUAGAUUUACUUUAAAUGUAAAUAAUAAAAUAUCUCAGGUGAAACUAAUGAUUUUCAUUUGGAAGAGUUAUGCAUCAAAGUAUUAAUUGCCGAAAUUUGAAAUUUAAAUCUUAAUUAUAUUUUUAUUUGGAAAUUUUCAACUAAUUACAGUAAUCUAUCAUAGUCCAUAGAUAUUCAUUACGGCAUAUAACUUUAGUGACAUUAUAACAUAUUAAUUGCUUUAAUAUUUAUCAGAAGUAUCGAUUUGUCCAUAUUAAUAUUUUGUGUGGAAUAUAAAAAUAAUAUUUUUUGUGAUUUUGUUUGUUUGUUUAUUAUUUUUUUCUAAUAAUCUUGACCCUAAAAUAUCUUUUCAAUUGGCAUAUUAAAAGAAUAAUUUUCAGUUGAUUGGUUUAAAAUAUGUUUGUUAUAAAUUAAAUUAUGCACAAAAUUUGUAUAUUUUAAUAAAGAUGAUAAUUAAAUUGCAAGAUACUAAUAAAUACUUUAAUCUAUUUUAUUGACACUUAAUUUUAUUAUACAAAAAAAUAUAUCAUUAAGUGAUGAUACAUUUUCAAAGAUCUCAACAAAUAAAAUAACAUCGAUGAGUUUACUUUUGAGGAAACUACGUCAACUAAUCCUCACAAGAAAACUGGAUGUUGGCAUUGAGGAUUAACUGACAUAGUUUCCUCAGAAGUCAAGUCACCACUGUUUUCCCUAUUUGUUAAGCUCUCUACAAUUACAUCUUCGCUUAAUGACAUCUUUUCAAAAUUUUCUUGUAUAACAAAAUAAAAGAUCUCAAAAAUUGAUAAAAAGACUUACUAAUAUCUUGAAAUUAAUUACAUUAAAUUUUUUAAAAAAGGUUAAGAUCUUAUAACUCAUAAUUUAAUUUAUAAGAAAUUUAUCUUAAUCCAAUCAAUGAUAACUAUCCUUCUUAUAUGCUAAUUGAAAAGUUAUUUUAUGGUGUUUUACUUUGAAAAAUAAAAUAAAUGAAAAAUAACUAGGUUUUCGAAAAAUCGAUUAAACUUAUGAUUUCAGAGAAAUUAAAUUUCAUGAUAAACAGAGUCACCUCUUAAUUUUUUAGUAAACAUCAAGAAAAAAAAAACUUAAGGUUUUUAAAAGGACUUAAACAAAAAAAAUUAAUUUGAAAAAUAGGUUCGAAGUUCAAUGUACAUUUCGAGAAGUUGUUAGACCCUCGGAAUGUCCAUUAACUUGCGGUUGACCGACGAUUUAACUAAAUGACUUUUUGCAAAUAAUUUUUCUAAAUUUUAACUAAGUAAAGAAAUUCAUUUUUUAUUAAUUUACUUAUUCCUAUUAUUUUUCUAAUUAAUUAUUUCGAAUGGAAUUAAACUAAAGGGGGACUUUCUAAGAAAAAUAAUUUAAAAUGUUAACAAGACUAAAAAUGAAAAUAAAAUUUAGAAUUAAAUAUAAAUAUUUAAUUUUAAAUUUAAAACAAGAAAUGACUAUCUUUGAAAGUCAACUAAGCCAAAACUAAAGAUCAAAUAUAAUGUUAGUUAACACAAUAACAAAUGAAUAAGAUGAAAAGGGAGGGAGUAUUAAAUUUGGGCCUUCAGCCCAAGUUCAAGAACAUGUCCUAAUACAAAAAAGGGAAAAUUGUAUAUAAUAGCAAACUAAUAACCUAAAUUAAAUCGAAUAGCUAGGUUUUGAUUUAAUUGUGCUCCAUAGCAAACAUUAGCUAAAAUUUGCCAGCGUCUCUCUCCCAAAAAUCUCGCUCGCCACUCUCCAUUCUCGCUCGCCUAUCUCGCUUUAUACACAGAAGUGUAUAAUUCUGUUUCUGUUUUGUAUAAAACGAGAGAAAAUUGUAUAUACACAUGCAAAAAUGUAUAUCUUCGUGUUAUACACUUAAUUAUACACUUUACAAAUAUUUUACUUCAAAUAUUGCAGAGAAAAAGGCCAACGAAUUAUACAAUUGCGAAUUAUACAAUUGCAGCGAAAUACAAUUUUCUCUAGCUUUAUACAACAGAAGUGUAUAUAUUGUGUUUCUGUUUUUGUAUAAAGUGAGAAAAACAUAUAUCUUCUUGCUAUACACUUAUAAUUAUGCAAUAUACAUACAUUUUAAUUCGAUUCAACUGUAUGCAAAAUAAAUUAUACAAUUGCAGCGAAAUAGGCCAGCGAAUUAUACAAUUUAGGCUAGCGAAUUAUACAAUAGUAUAUAUAUAGCAAAUUAUACAGUUUUAUGUUUGCUAUGGAGCGCAAUGCAAGGUUUGCUAUAGCAUACAAAUAUGAAUUUUUUAUUUGCUAUAUGUGAAAGUUGCCCUACUAAAAAUACCCAAAACACGAGUUUGGACCUAUUUACUCAAAAUUCUGUUGCUGGCCAUCCUUUUAAGAUUUUAGGGCUUCUUUUCACUUUCAAAUGACAAGAUAUACACCAAGUGUAUAUCUGAUAUACACACCAUGUAUAUGAUUGUUUUUGGACUCCUGAAUCUAUAUUUUCAUUUGAAUUCACUUUUCUGUAUCUUUCAACCUGCUUCGCCGUAUUUUUUACUUGUAUACUAUAUUUUAGAUGUAUACAACAAAUAUUUCAGUGUAUACAACCCCUUUUUCGGGCAUUUCAGCUUUGUUUAACCUUUGGAAACCUGUAUUUUAACUUCAUGAACCUGCCGACUCAAUGAAGAUAGGAAAUUGGGUCUUUGUGGCUCAAUCAAAUGCAAGGAAAAAAAGUCUUCAAAGACUCGGGGGAAGCCGAUUUAUACAUAGAAAAGAACAAAACAAAAAUUAGAAAUAGAGCACACCUUAAAUGAGCUUUCACUUAACAUCAAAUUAAUCCCACAUGAUUAGUAAGACACCAAAUAGAAGUGACAACUAAGCCAUUAAGGCUAAUAGUGACUAAAUGGAAGGGACUUAGACAUAUUUACUAAGACAAAAUAAUGACAAGGAAGCCAUUGUUAAUCUAAAAAUGGAGCAGACCAUUAUAAUUGAUGCCAUUAAAAUGCAAUAUGAGGCUUAGCAAAAGGAGUAAUAAAUUCAUGUAUAGGAUAAAAUUAAGCUUGUUGAACAAGAGCAAAGGAGCGGAUAAAAUUAGUAAAAUAUGCUACUGUUUUUUAUGAAAUUUUAGGCAUGAAUGAGAGAGAGACUUUGACACUUACAACUUUACUAGAAGAGGGAAUAUGAAGAAGAAAAAUGUUUCAUUUAACAAACAAGAUUAGAUCUUCAAUACAUAAUUAUCAAGACUAUGACCAACUUGUCAUCAAAUUGCAAGAAGACAGAGAGCGAUAAUGAACAUGUAAUUGAGAGCUAAGACAAACGAAAUGAUAUUUGUUACUAAGAGGGACAGAGAGAUGACAAACAAUGUUAAACAUAUUCACAUCUUGAAGAUUCCAAAUGAAGAGGAAAAACUAAAUUAAAUGAUUAGACAUGAAGCUUUGAAAAAAGAAGAAACACAAGUGAAAAACAAGCACAAAAUCAUUGAAUCGAAACUAGAUGGCUACUACACCCAACAAACUUUAGCCAAUACGACAUACAAUCCACGAAGCUUUAACUCGAUAUUGCAACUAAAUGAUGGAAACGGCUAAGAAUAGUCGUGUCAUGUUAAAACAAUCAUCACUCGAAUAACAUCUAACAACAAACAACCACGAAAUAAGGAUCUUUAUAACAUCAAAUAACAACGCAUCGAGAUAGAGGAAGACACGAGGAGAAUGCCAUAAAGGAAGUGAUAGAAUAUAUGCCUUCACUUAACAGAGUAAUGGACCAGGUCCCUUACUACACUAAUGAAUAUAACCAGAAAGUUAAAUGCAAUAAAAAUCAACACAAUGAUUUUACGUGGAAAUCUCCUUGCUUAAGGGAGUAAAACCACGACCUGUCUCACAGGAUUUUCAAUCGUUUUCACUAAUCUUCAAAAGCAAAAGUAAAACACGAUUACAACAAAUGUGAGAAGAAGUUUUUAAUCUUACGUUUAAGCAAUAGUCUCUAUUGCUUAACAAGCCUAAGUAGAAAACAAUCUACCCACUAAGCUAUCCCACUUGGACAACCUAGACUUUUAACACUACCCACUGAUUCCUUUAUAGUUUUAGAAAUAGUUUACAAUAUAAGAACAAGAGAAUAUAUUCCUAAACAGCUACACUAAAAGCUCCAGAGAUUACUGCUGUUCUUGGAAUAAUUCUGCCUUUUGUUUACUAGCAGCCUUUGCAAAUGUUCUUGAAAAGUUCUCUUUCAAGUUGCAAAAACUACAAAAGAUGUUUAGGAAAGUGCCUUUUAUAUGGACAAGUCACUUUACUUAAACUCUUUGCCAUUGGUUGAAGAAGUCUCACUUUCUGACUCUAUCGGGAAGUGUGCACCUACUUUCUGUACCGUCUCCAGCUGGCAGUCAACUGGCUCGUCACAAUGAGAGCCUGGUACCUUUAAAAGGUCCCUUGGUUUGUUUCAUCUUCAACACUUAAGUACGAAACCUGGUACCUUUACAAGGUCCCUAAGUUUGUCAAAUCAUCAAAACUGCAAAUAACAUUUUCCCCCUUUUUGAUGAUGACAAACAAUGGCUCUCAGAUCUCCUCCAAAUUUUGUUCCCCCUUACUGUAUUCCCCCUCACUGUUUUCCCCCUUACUGUUUCCCCCCACACUGUAUGAUCAUUCAGCUACUUACCAGUUUUACUUCCCUCUUUUGGCAUCAUAAAAAAGACAUGUAGUAAACCAGUAAUGUCAACAUUAAUACAUAAUAAGAUCAAAGGUAAGAAGCAAUCAAUCAGGAAGGGAAAAACAUUCUCAAAAGACUAUAAUCAGAACAACAGAGGAAUAAGUUAACAAGCAUUCCACAAUAACAUUAAAACAUAAAAAUUAAACUGAUUGUCCAACAACACAAAGAUAAGCCACAAAAAGAACGACAUAAGGGAGAGUUUUUAAUAGGCUAGGAAGAGGGAGGAGGAUGAGACAGGGACUGGAUGAUGAGAGUGAGUCGUGCAUUGGCAGCAUCAUUAUCUUUAAUAGCCUUCUCUUGCAAGGCAGUGAUCUUAGCCUUCAACUCUGCAUUCUCUCUCUCCAGAGCUUGUACCACUGAAGAACCAGGUCCCUCAUUCUGUGCAGUAAGCAGUUCUGCUUUGAGUAUAGCAAUUUCGGCCUCUUUACCACUCAAACGCACAGUGAGCUCCUCAACCUCAUGCUUAAGCUGAUCCUGAUCUUCGAUGAGUUGAGCCAUCUUGCUCAUGAGAUUGCCUCUCCCUUCAAUACACUCACACUCGACCAGGGUACUCUCUGAUAUAGGCUGUUUAACCGUCCCAACCCUUCCAACACUGAGAGGAAUUUGAAAAUGCUUGAAUACUUCUGUGAGAAAGUACUCGUAUACCAUUCCAUGAACACCUUUCCUCUCGAUGACAAUUUUGUAGAUUUGCUCAAGCAUAAGACCUGGGAGAUUCAGGGCUUCGAAGAUACACAACAUCUCCAUCACAAAUAAGUCAGCAGCAGUUGCUGAGGUCCUCUUUUCAGUGCGAGGAAGGAGAACUUUGUUGAUGAACUCGAAGACUAACUGGUACUCGCUCUUCAUGAUCUUCUUAUAAAUCCCAGCAACCUUGGUUGUGGGUAUCUUAGAAAUCAAGGAAGCAAACUCAGUAGAGGAAGUUCUUCCCAGCACAAACCGGGUCCCUCUCUAGGCACCCUGAGAAUUUUGCUCAACAAACCCUCAUCUAGAUGUACAACAAUGUCAUUGACCCGUGUGAGGAUACUCCCAUCUUCUUUUAAUUGAACAUCAUAAUAAAAUUCGCGCACUUCUUCUUCAUAGAGGAUGGGGGAUUUUCUGUUGAACAAAUGCAGCCAUGAUUGAAUUUCAACCAUAUAGUGAAGGGAGUCCAUGCCGAGAAGAGUUAUGAUUCCCAUAUCAAAAACUCUCCCAGCCAAGACGGCUUCUCAGGUUGUCAACAACUUCCUGCAUGUUGACACUCUCAUCUCUCCUGAAUUGGGUACCAGGUCCCUGUGAUCUCUUCCUUUUGCCUCCAGAACUUUUCUUUUUGGACUUUGUGUUUUCAACCUUCUUUGAAAUCUUCCCCUUUUUCUUCUCUUCCCUUUUCUUCUUACUUUUCUUUUCCACUUCCUCAGCGGACAACUCAACAACAUCAGUCUCAGGUAUUUUGAAAUUUGAUACCUUGAAGGUUAUUGCACUUCUAACUGCAGCAGUAGAACGUGCACUGGCCUUCAAGGCAUCGGUCAUCAAUUUUGGAGCAGUAGACCUAGUGGUAGGUCUUCUCCUAGGGGUCUCUUCUACAACCUUCUCCUUCCCUUUUAUAGAUAUCUCACCUUCUCUUCACUCAACCUUCCAUUUUAAAGGUUCCUCCUCACUUUCAGAGUCAGAGGAGGAGGAAGAAGGAUACCUUCCAAUAUCAGGAGCUUUAUCAAAAAUGGGUUGAGUGUUUCUUACCUCUUCCUUUUGCAAAACAUCAGUUUGCUCAGCCCUUGCUUCUCCCCGCAUCAUAGCCAAGCUCUCAAUCACCAAAUCUUCACUUGCUGCCAAUAUAUUGGACUCAGAUGCCUUAUGCUUGGGUAGAUCUCCUUCAAAGAGAUUAUCAGGCAGCAUUUCUUGCAACGGACCAGGUCUAGUAGGCAAGCAUGUACUGUUUAGAUCUAUGUCAUAGAAGGGAUUGUCGGGUGUGUCUUGCUGAGAACUAGAAGGGGCAUUGUGUCUGGACUGUACAGUAGACGGAGAAAAGAAAGCAAGUGGCUCUAUUUCACUAAGAGCAUUAAGCAUCUGUUUAGAGGUAGAAGAAGGAGAAGACAUGUUUGAAGGACAAAGGAAGAAGGGUUUUCGAACAGAGAGAGGAAGAAGAAGAAACAAAGUUUGCCUUUUUAACUUUUGUUUAAACCCUUCUUCAAGCAAAAGGAAUGCUAAAGGACGGAUGUAGAUUUCAAAAAGAAGUAAAGAGGGUUUUUAAAAGGCGUGAAAAGGUGCCAGGUCCGUGAUUGGAUGUGUCGCUUGAGAGAGAAGCGAUGAGACUAACGGUCAGACUGACCGAUGACUGACACGUGGCAUUAUCAACGGUCAUAAUUUUUAGUUUCAAAUUAAUGUAGAAAUGUUAACCUGGACAGGCACCAGGUACCAUAGCACAAUUACAUGCUCAUUCCCCAGUUGUUAUAGUCAUUUUCUUUGCUAAGCAAGUCCUUCCUGAAAGUAUAUCUACAAAAGGUACAAAAAGGAUCUUUAUUCAGAUAUUUAAUAUUCACACAAAGGAUGCCUGCACUACAGUUUUAGCAAUCAAGGGAAUUCAACUGUUGGAAGCCAAGAACAUCACUUAGAGAUCAACAUGCCCAACUUCAACCGAUUUCUAAAUUGAUAUUUACUGAGAGACUUGGUGAAGAUAUUUGCAAUUUGCUCCUCCGUUGGACAAUAUGUAAGAACAAUAUUUCCCUUCUCAACAUUAUCUCUCAAAAAGUGAUGUCUAACAUCAAUAUGCUUUGUUCUUUUAUGAUGGACUGAAUUCUUUCCCACACUAACAACACUAGUAUUGUCACACAUAAGAGGAAUUGCUUUGAUGUGAAUCCCAAAAUCUUCCAAGUGUUGCCUGAUCCACAGCAACUGUGAACAACAGGCUGCAGCAGCUACAUACACAGCUUCAGCAGUUUAGAGAGCCACAGAGUUCUGCUUCUUUGGUUCCCCAAGAGAUAAGUGAUGAUCCAAGGAAAUGAGCCAUUCCAGAAGUACUCUUUCUGUCAACUUGAUAACCAGAAAAAUCAGCAUCUGCAAAACCAACUAGAUCAAAAGUGUCACCUGCUGGAUAGAAGAGAACCAGGUCCCUUGUUUUCUUCAGGUAUCUAAGAAUACGUUUUGCAGCCUUCAAGUGUGAAUCACGAGGACAUGAUUGAAACCUGGCACACAUUCCAACACUAUAAACAAUAUCAGGCCUGCUAGCAGUCAGAUAUAACAAGGAUCCAAUGAUUCCCCUGUACAUUGUUUGAUUCACAAGAGGAUCAGAUUCCUCUACUCAAGCUUGGAAUUUGUUCCCAUAGGAGUAUCAAUAGUUUUAGAGUCAAAUAUAUUGAAUUUCUUCAGUAUCUCCUUAAUGUACUUCUCCUGACAGAUUGAAAUCCCAUUUGAUGAUUGCUUGAUUUGUAAACCAAGGAAGAAUGUCAGUUCACCCAUCAUGCUCAUUUCAAAUUCCUUUCCCAUUAAUGCUGUGAAUUCUUCACAUAAAUGUUCUGAAGUAUCUCCAAAAAUUAUGUCAUCCACAUACACUUGAAUGAUAAGCAAUUCUUGUUCUUUUUUUAAUAAGAACAAAGUAUUGUCUAUCUUGCCUUUUUUGAAACCAUUCUUCAACAGAAACUUUGACAGCCUUUCAUACCAUGCUCUUGGAGCGUGCUUCAGACCAUACAGGGCUUUAUUCAAUCUGAACACAUGAUCUGGUAGCUCUGCAUCUUCAAAACCAGGAGGUUGCUUGACAAAUACCUCCUCUUUGAGAUCUCCAUUCAGAAAUGCACUUUUCACAUCCAUUUGAUACAGCUUGAACCCCAUGAAUGCAUCAAAAGCUAUUAAAAUUCUGAUAGCCUCCAUUCUGGCAACAGGUGCAAAAGUCUCAUCAUAGUCUAUUCCCUCUUCUUGAUUAUAUCCUUGAACCACCAACCUGGAUUUAUUUCUAGUAAUCACUCCAUUUUCAUCAAGCUUGUUUUUGAAAAACCCAUCUGGUUCCUGUUACUGUUCUGCCUGCAGGUCGAGGAACCAGGUACCAUACCUUGCUUCUUUCAAACUGAUGAAGUUCUUCUUGCAUAGAGUUGAUCCAAUCUACAUCACCUGAUGCUUCUUUCACAUUCUUGGGCUCAAUAGAUGAUAUGAAUGCUGAAAACACAACUAGAUUUCUUGUUUUUGAUCUAGUAUGAAUUCCAGAAUUCAAAGGAGAAAUAAGAUUAUCAAGAGGAUGUGAUGAACUAUGCUUCCAACCUGAUCUUUGAGUAGACUUGUUGAGUUGAUCAACAUGUUCUUCAUCAAGAGAGACAUCAUUUUCUGGGGAGUUUGAUGUACUCUGGCUGGAAUUCUGAGUAAUACCAGGUACCUCAUCACAUUUUCCACCUCAUCAGCCUCUUCAGGUAGACUAUGAUUCUGAUCAUCACAAUCAUUUUUCAGUUGUUGUCCUGCAUCAGCUUCACUUCCUUCAAUUUUCUGCGAAUUGAACAGUUUGAUCACAUCAUCUUCAUCAUUUGAUCCAUUAUUCCUUAAGCUUUUAUUUUCAUCAAAUACAACAUGAAUGCUUUCUUCGAUGCAUUGAGUUUGUUUGUUGAAUAUUCUGUAAGCUUUACUCGAUGAAGAAUAUCCAACAAAUACUCCUUCAUCACUCCUAGGAUCAAAUUUUCCCAGAUCAUCCUUUCCAUUGUUAAGCACAAAACACCUGCAUCCAAAUGCUCUAAGAUAACUCAACAUAGGCUUUCUGUUGUUGAGCAGCUCAUAGGGGGUCUUAUUCAAAACAGCUCUUAUCAGACACCUGUUGGUAACAUGACAUGUUGUUUAACAACUUCUGCCCAGAAAUUUUGAGGAAGAUUUGAUUCAAUAAUCAUAGUUCUGGCAAUGUUCACCAAGGUUCUGUUUUUCCUUUCCACUACUCCAUUUUGUUGGGGAGUUCUAGGAGCAGAAAAAUUAUGACUCGUACCAUUCUCCAUGCAGAAUUUAUCCAGUUUUGAGUUCUCAAACUCAGUACCAUCAUCAGAUUGAAUGCUGCAAAUGACUUGAUUCAAUUUGGUCUGAAUCAUUUUGAAAAGCACCACAAACUCUUCAACUGUUUCUGCCUUUGAUUUCAAGAAUCUUGUCCAUGUAUAUCUCGAGUAAUCAUCAACAAUCACCAAUAUGUAAUUCUUGCCAUAUCUGCUUUGAACCUUCAGGGGUCCACACAAGUCCAUGUGAAGCAGCUCUAGAGUUCUUGAUGAUGUUACUUGCUUUUUAGGCUUAAAGGAUGAUCUGAUUUGUUUUCCUUUAACACACGCUUCACAGAUUUUAUUUUCAGCAAACUUCAGCUUUGGCAGACCUCGGACCAGGUCCUUAGAAAUAAGUUUGUUUAAUAAAGACGAGCUUACAUGCCCCAGCCUACGAUGCCAAAGAUCAGCAUUCUCAUUCUGAGCGCUAAGACAUGUCAGGUCAUCUCCAAGAGACGUUUCUAAGUUGGCCACAUACGUAUUUUUACUUCUGUGAGCAGUAAGAAUUACCUUCUUUGUAGUUAGACUCAUCAUAGUGCACUUCUUAGAAGUAAAUUUGACUUCAUUCCCUUUGUCAUAGAUUUGAGACACACUCAACAAACUGUACUUCAACCCAUACACAUGAUACACAUUGUCGAUUGAAUCUUCAAGAGAUUUUCCCACUUUGCCAACUCCCAAAAUGUACCCCUUCUUACCAUCACCAAAAGAGACACCUCCUCCUUGAAGUGUCUUGAGUGAGAGGAAAUUUUUACAUCACCAGUCAUAUGUUUAGAGCAUCCACUGUCCAUAUACCAACAUUGACUGCUGCUCCUCUCACUCACCAGCACCAAGAAUCACUUGUUUAGCUUGGGAACCCAUUUCAAUUUGAGUUCCCAGAAGGCAGACAAAGGAGUGAUUAGAUUGUAUUUAGUCCAAUAGGGUAUAUUUUGAAGCUUUCUAACAAAGGACAUUGGGGCCGUGACAAAUUUUUUCUUUGAAAAUCUGUGAGUGAAACAUUCUUUGGAGGAUCAGGUCUCUGUUUUGGUAAAUUUUGCCUUUCAGCAUAAUUAGAGAAUUUUUCAUAGGAGUUUCUCCAGCCAGCACACUCUCCCUUUAAAUUCCCAUUCUUACCACAAUGAAGACAGAGCAGAUUGUCAGACACAAACACAUACUUGCUGUGAGGAUUAUAAGGAGGAGUGAUGUUCAAACUUACUAGUCCUUUCUUAUUGCAAUUACUCUGAUUUGUUGCAUUUGACAAUAACUUUGAGGAUUUUGUCCACUUAAGAGAUUUUUCAAGUUCUUCCUUAAGUUUGACAAUAUCCUUUUCUAAUUUGUUGCUCUUUUCCAACGACAGACAAAGGUUUUUCUCAGAGUUUUUCAAUUUUUCUUGAAUUUCAACUUGUAAACCAUUUGACAUUCCAUUUAGCUUUUCAUCUUCUUCAGUUAUCUGAUUCAACUGAUUCUUAAGUUCAGAAUUAUUAGACUCUAGAGACACCAUUCUUGACAUUUUCUCUUCAAGUUUAACUUUGUUUUCAGUUAAACUGUCAAGUUCAGCAUUCAUGGUGUCUCUUUCAGAUGUUAACUCACUUAUAGAAUCAAUCAUGACUUUUGCCAACAUUCUCAAUUUUUUAAGAGAAUAAUUAUCCAAGUCAUUUUUCAUAUCAAGAAGAGUUACCUGGUCGUCCUCUUCUUCAUUUUCUGUAUGAGCCAUGAGAGCAAAAAUUUCAUUGAAAAUGGUUUCCUCCUCAUGUACAACCACCAUAGACACAUCAUUUGGUUCAUCAGGAUCUUCUGAAUCACUUGAAGAAUCACCCCACGCAGCAAGAUCCUUUUUAACCACCAAAUCUGCAGCAGCUUUUCAAUCUCUCUUACCGAGUACCAGGUCCCUUUCUCUUUGUCACUUCUUAGUUUUUGAUGUUCCUUGUUUUCAUUCUUGAGCAGAGGACACUCUCUGAUAAAGUGUCUAGCUUUUCCACACUUGUAACAUGUAUCACCUUGAGUAGCAUUUCGAGUAUCAUUUGUUCCUCUUUUAAAAACUUUGUUUUUUCUCACAAUUUUUUGAAAUCUGUUGAUGAGAUAUGCCAUAUCAUCAUCACUGGAAUCUUCAUCUGAUUUGUACUUCAGCAUCAAUGACUUAUCCUUUUUAGCUUCCUUCUUUGAUGAAUCACAAUUUUGAUUCAUCUCACGUGUCUUCAGAUUUCCAAUCAAAGCAUCCAUAGUCAGCACCUUCUAAUCUUUGGCUUCUGUGAUGGCAUCAACCUUGCUUUACCAAUACUUUGGAAGAAUUCGAAGUACUUUUAUGUCUUGUUUGCUCAUGCUUAUAGGUUCACCAAAACUUCGCAGCUCAUUUGUAAUGGAAGACAAUUUUGUGAACAUGUCAUGAAUUGUUUCUCCUUCCUUCAUUUUGAAGUUCUCAUACCGUGAGGUAAGCAUGUCAAUCUUUGAUUCUUUGACUUGUUCAGUUCCUUCAUGAGCAGUCUACAAACAGUCCCAAAUUUUCUUACCAGACUCACAAGCUAAAACCCUGUUGAACUCAUCAGGUCCUAUCCCACAUACAAGAAGAGUUUUUGCUUUGUAUCCUUUUUCAAUCUUUUUUCUAUGAGCUUCGUCGUAUUUCUUUCCAGGCUUUGGAACAAGACUAGUUUUCUCUCCAUCCUUUUCUUCCAUCAUCGGAAUAAACGGUCCAUCAAGUACAAUAUCCCAUAACUUGCUGUCUUCAGCCAUGAGGUAAUCAUGUAUUCUAACUUUCCACCAACUGUAGAAAUGUCCAUUGAAACGUGGAGGUCUUGUUGACGACUGACCUUCUUCGAGAUCAAGUGGAGCAGCCAUUCUAGAACAAAUAUCACAUCCUUGGUGUUAACCAAAUAGGGAGUGCCUGCUCUGAUACCACUUGAUAGAAUAUAUGCCUUCACUUAACAGAGUAAUGGACCAGGUCCCUUACUACACUAAUGAAUAUAACUACAAAGUUAAAUGCAGUAAAAAUCAACACAAUAAUUUUACGUGGAAACCUCCUUGAUUAUGGGAGAAACCACGACCUGUCUCACAGGAUUUUCAAUCGUUUUCACUAAUCUUCAAAAGCAAAAGUAAAACACGAUUACAACAAAUGUGAGAAGAAGUUUUUAAUCUCACGUUUAAGCAAUAGUCUCUAUUGCUUAACAAGCCUAAGUAGAAAAUAAUAUACCCACUAAGCUAUCCCACUUGGACAACCUAGACUUUUAACACUACCCACUGAUUCCUUUGUAGUUUCAGGAAUAGUUUACAAUAUAAGAACAAGAGAAUAUAUUCCUAAACAUCUACACUAAAAGCUCCAGAGAUUACUGCUGUUCUUAGAAUAAUUCUGCCUUUUGUUUACUAGCAGCCUUUGCAAAUGUUCUUGAAAAGUUCUCUCUCAAGUUGCAAAAACUACAAAAGAUGUUUAGGAAAGUGCCUUUUAUAUGGACAAGUCACUUUCCUUAAACUCUUUGCCAUUGGUUGGAGAAGUCUUAGUUUUUGACGUCAUCGGGAAGUGUGCACCUACUUUCUGUACCGCCUUCAAUUGACAGUCAACUGGCUCGUCACAAUGAGAGCCUGGUACCUCUACAAGGUCCCUUGGUUUGUUUCAUCUUCAACACGCAAGUACGAAACUUGGUACCUUUACAAGGUCCCUAAGUUUGUCAAAUCAUCAAAACUGCAAAUAACAGGAAGAAAUGUUACCUUUUCCUGUGCAGCAAAAUGUACAAGACGAGCAGAGGAUCAACGACUUCAAAAAUCCGGCAAGUUCCCAGUGACUCCUAAACAGACAAGGGAAGUAUAUAUUUAAGAUGUAUUUCUUAUAAAGAUAUUGUAGUUUAGUGAUUAUUUUUCUUUGUAAGUUCUUGCCUGAGGAUAUAUUUCUCAAACUCUACUUACCAACUAAAAACUAACUGUUUUUUUCCCAACUCUUGACUUUAUGAGGAAGAGGGUGUAUAUGUAGACAAGGAGACGGGGCCUGAUGGGGGGGAAGUUGGGUAAAGCAAAGGGGUCAAUUCGAAAUUUGAGUUCCCUCUUGGAUAAGGCUUCCAGCUCUACUCUUGAACACACUUGUGAAAUUUCUCAACGGGAUGAAGAGGAUAGACGUUGAUUCUAGGCAAUGCAAGGACGAGCAAGGCUUCAAGAUUGCUCCACCAGAAUGAUGAGGGACAAUUUUUCAAAAUGGUCUUCAUACGGAGAGGAGAGGACGACGCGCUAGGGUGGGUUUGGGUCGCGAUUUUGAUUAGCUGGGAUGGACGAGUUUCUGGGUUUCACGUUUCUCGCUGGACCGCGUGAGGAAAAAGAGGAAGAACGCACAUGGUUGAUUUAUUGUAUUGUAUUGCAUUGUUACUCGGUUAUUUGGGAUGUGUUAUGGGGUUGGACUAAUAUUGUUGAGUUUCUUUAGAAUUAAAUGGGGUUGGUUUUGCGGAAAGUUGAGCUGCUGGAAACAAGCCCAAAUUUUGAUCUAUUAAAGGGUUAAAAGUAUUUAACCAAUAACUACAUAAGAUGAAUUAAUAUAAAUUAAUUAAUGAGCUUCUUAAUCUUAAUAAACUGAAAUAAUCAACUUAAUUGUAAACUAAAGAUUCAAAAUUAUAAUCAUAAUUUAAACUAAUUUAUUGAGAUAAUUUUUGAAAUUUUAGAAAAUAUACUAAUUACAUAUAUAAUUAUAAAAUGCUAUAGAAUUUUGCUAAAAUUACUUAAAGUAACCUCAAAAAAAUUUGAGUUUUAUAAAACUAAUUAUUCUAAAUUAUUUAAAAAUCAGGAAGCUCGAAAAUUAAUUAUUAUUAGGGAGGGUCAAAAUUAGGUGUCAACAGCCGUCCCUCAUUUUACUUAGUUAAUGCAAGAAAUUCGAAGAAAAUAAAAUUGACCUAGCCAAUUUUGACCGACCAACUAUUCACCUUUUGGAGAAGGGAUUUCGUACGUACUUUAGAAAUUAUGAUCGAAUCACACAAAUGAGUUUACUUGGAUUGAUGCAAGAAAUUUAAUACGCUUGAUUCAGAUAUCGAAUUAUGAAGAGACCAGGAUGCUUGAUAAUAAGAUUUAGAGAGAAUGUGGAAUAAAAGUAAGUUUUCAACACUGAUCCUACCUACAUAUCCCUCAACUCAGGGAAUCAGGCUUCUUGUACUUCAACUCGAUUGGUUGAAAAGAAAAUCUAUUAUGGUAGAUAACCUUUGUUACUGGAAGAGAGGAAAAUAAAUCGAGUAUGAAAAAGAGGCCUGUACUUCUUAGUUAUGAAUGUAGUGAACUUCACACCCAUAAUUAAGAACUUACACAGACGUAAUUUCCAAAGCUCGCCUCCAGUAAAAACUAAAACUUUUCAGAUGCAAAACUAAAAUCGGCAAAACUAAAUAAAAAACCACAUGCCUUCUAAUAGGAAUGUGUCACGACCGUGGAUCACCCCUAGACGUAACAGGCGUCUUCGUUCUCAAAGAGGACUUGGACUAGCCUUUGGCAUUCGUCAUAACAUAUCAUAGGUCGAAAAUAUAAAAAAUUAAAAACUUUUACAUAGUGAAGUAUACUUAGACUUCUCACAUAUCGUAUAUGGUGUUUACAUAGACUCCUCGCUUAUUACAUAGACUUCUCGUUUAGGCAAUAUAACCAAAACAUAAGAAAUAGUCUAAUACUUUGUCUCACAUUAAACCAUCUAAUAGAGAAUUACAACAUUGGGCAUAACCCUUACUGCAAUACAAUAUGCCACAUAUAGGCUUACAACAAUAGUCUCAAAAUAUAAAGGAAUGAACAAGUGUCUUUAGACAUAAGCAACAUCAUAGCUAGAUGAAGAAUGACAACAUCCUCGAUCAUGAGGACCUACCAAUAACUUGGUUAAUCAAAUAUUCCUUCAAAGUGGCCUCCUACACUUCAAUGGCCUAAACCUACAUUGUUUGGGAAAAGGAAAACAAUAUAGGUUAGUACAUCCACUUGUACUAAGUAUGAAAACAUAUGCACAUAGAACCUUUGGAAUCAUGCUUAAAAGAAAAUUUUAUUCUAAACCAUGCUAAGUAACUUUGAAAGCCUUUUAUGAACAUAUAAGAUCAUAUACAAGUCAAUAUGCAUAGCAUCAUUAAGACAAGUUCAUAUCCAAGACAAGACCAACAUCAUCAUAAAGUCAUUCAAUAUGAAUAACUCCAACAUAAUGUCAUAACAAAAAUUCAUGUACAAGAGUUCAUAACAUCAAAGCAUACAAGACCCUUACUCACCAUCCCAUCCCUAUCCUACAAGUGUAAUGCUGAUGUGAAGCCCCAUAACCCCACAUAAUCAAGUAAACAAGAAAAGGGACUAUAAGUAAUACCUUACUUCAUAAAACAUAACAUCAUGUGUAGUCAACAUCAACUACAAUAACUUAGACCAAUAACAUGUUCAUGUAUGAAACUAAUAUCAUAUAGGACCAUCAACAUGUAAAGUCAACAUAUGCAUUUCAUUCAUAUCAUAAGAGCAUAAAAACAACCUCCUAGGACUCCUCGCAAGGCCAAAUUGUGCAAUGUAUAGGUAGAGUCCCAUACCCCUACCUACACCAAGUAGAACUCCUUAAGUCACCGUAGUUAGUGUUCACUUCAUCACUUUCAUUCUAUCAUUUUACUUUCAGGAACAAUUGCCUUAACCAACAAUAGACCAUGUGAUCUAAACAUGGAAUUUGGUGUCAUGAAACCCCACAUCGAAAGAAGGUGGUCUAUUUGCCAAGGUAGAACCAAAACAUGAACAUAACAUUCUAGGUGGAUCCACUAGCUAGUAUUCCUAUGGAGACAACAUAGUUAAGGAACUAAGAGAUAUGUAUUGAACCUUGUACAUGCCCAUUAGAAUUGGAAUCACAAGAAACUAUAGGGUGAACCUACCUUCCAUUAGGGAGUCAACACCUCUCAUUGUCAAGUUCACUAAGUGCUAAGAUAAAGUCCCUUUUUGAAAUGCCUUUAUUCCUUUCUUAAUCAUCAAAUCUUAAUAUAGGCCAUCUGAGAACAACCACUUGUAUAAUCAUGUCAUUAGCUCAUUAAGUAUUUCAUGAAAAUUUCCUUUCAAUACAACCUUUCAUGCAGUGAGAUCAUCAUAUCAUAGUAAGGCACACAAGUGAUUCAUAUUCAACCUUGUAUCAUCAUACCCUUAACAUGAUCUCACAAUUGUACAUUUUCAUGAAAAUUUCAUCAUAAUCAUCAUAUUAUCAUCUUCUUAAUCUAUUCACAUACUUCCUCCAUUUAAAAAAGAAUGAACUCCUUUCCAUUUUGGUCUGUUUAAAAGAGAAUGACCUCUUUCUUUUUUUGGUAGCAACUUUUCACGUAGCAUGUUUAAGGCCACAAGAUCAAAUGGCAAUUUUAUACAUUUGAUAUAACUUUAGUUUAGGACCACAUGAUCAAAAGUACUCUUUCUUUUCUUAAACUCCGUGGCGAGUCAAACUCGAUCAUUCUUUGUGAAAUGGAGGGAGUAUAACACUUCAAUUGAAACAUCAUCAUCAAGUAUAAACCAUCAUUUUUGAAGGAAAGAACUCAAGAUAAUAAAGUCUUACCAAAUAGACUUCAAAAUCCUUCUUCAAGUUCUUAUUAUCAAUCUAACAAUACUCAUCCAUCAAUUAACGUAUUAUCACCAUAUAAUAGUAAUCUAUAUACGAACUAAAUCAAUUGUAUCAUCACUAAUCAAAUCAACCUCAAUUCAUUACAUAGGGUUAGGGAAAAGGGUGUAAUCAUGGAUUCUUUCAUAGUACUAGGUCAAAGAAUAAGAACUUAAAAAAAUCAUAAUCUUUCAAUAAUAAUCAAGAGAAUUCAACAUCAAAUCAAAUUGAAAGAUCUUUCACAAAAUUGGAAAACUGAUGUUUUUGGCAUCAUUAGAAACCAAUUUAAAGAGCCUUUUGGGAGAAGGGAUUCCAGAGUGAAUAUCUUUCAUACCUUAGGAUUUCUUGAAGAUUGAUGGAGAAAAUAUUGAGUCUUGAAGCCCUAGUGAACCUUGAAGCUUGGUCUUCAAUGGGGUCUUGGAAUAGAGAGAUAAAGUAGAGAGAAGUUAGAGAGAAUUGGGUUUGGGUAUUAUGAGGUGUUAAGUUAUUUUAAGACUUAGGGUAGAUUAUAUAGUCAUUUAAAUAACUUAAGUAACCACCCCUUAACACAUAAUUAAUCACGUAACUAAUUAACUGAUUCCCCUAAGCUUGGCCAAUUUUAAGGCAGUGCACCAAGCCCAAUCGAUGACUGCACGUCAACGUCCCGUCGACCAGACCAUGACACCGUACUGGGGCUACGUGGUUUUGGUCAGAGAGGGUGUUUUGAGCACCUUUUGAAAUGUGGCUAAGUACUGACCAACGACCACCAUCGACGGGCCAUUGCGGCUCGUCGAUUGGUUCCGUCCUUAGCCACUAUCAAAUAAAAGUUUUGGGGUCAAAUGGAAGAGUCCUCUCAAGGACCCUUGGUGUGGUCCUUGGGGAUUCGUACCCUAAACACACUCUAACACAUGUUUAACACCAUUUUACAAAAUUUGACUAAAUUUCGACUCUUCAAACCCCUUGAAACAUGCCAAGUCGCACUAGUUCACCUUUUACAAUUCUCCGAACGUCAUGGUCGUUUCUUAAUGCUUUGAUUGUAACACUUCCUAAAUAGUUCCAACACAUUAGUUUAGGCUUAGAAACAAUAUUUUAAGGCUUGGUUCAUAUAGUGAGGCUCUAUAAUAAGUCAUAGACUUUCGGAGUGUUACAUUAUCCCCCCUUGGGAAAAUAUUCGUCCUCGAAUGACACCGAAAUCUUUUUAUAGGGAGAGAAUGACUCAAGACUAGCAGCCCAACCAACAACAACAUAACAACAUAAACACAUUAUGAGUCACAAUCCAUAGGACUAAUUCACAACUCCAUUCAACACAUGAUCAUGACAUUACACAUAGCAACUCAAUUUCACAAUUAUCACAUAUAAGAGCUCAACAUCACAACAUGAGGAAUUACCUUCUCAACGUCAACAUGAGCUCUACAUGAUCAUCAAGAGUGACCAUGUAAACCUUCUUUCAAGACACAUUAAACAUGCUCACUACUAUUUCAUGAAGGUAACUAUACACAUAACACAAAUAAGUGCAAGUCAAGCAAAAGAGCAUUUUCCUAAGAAAACUCAUUUUAACAUGAAACCUUUAUCAAAACAUGCACAUUUUAUCAAAGCAAGUAAAAUUCAACAUUAAUUAUUAUUUUAUUUCAAGAGGAUUACUAACCUCAACUCUGGCUAGAAUUUUGAGAAAAAAGAUGAGGAUAACGUGACUUCAUGUCAGCCUCGGCCUCUUAUGUUGCUCCCUCAACUAGGUGGUUUCCAGGAUUCUUGCGAAGGCCACCUCUUUAUUCCUCAACUUUUGACUCGAUGAUCUAAGAUUUCAACCGGAACCUCUUCAUAAGAAAGGUUCUUAUCAAAUCCUAGACCUUCAAUCGGGAGAAUGGAUAUAAGUUCACCUAUACAUUUCUUGAGCACGGAGACACGAAACACCGAAUAAACUGAAACUAGUUCACUUGGUAGUCUCAACUCAUAACAAACUUCUCCAAUCCGGUCCAAUACCUCAAAAGGACCCCCAUACCGGGGACUAAGCUUCCCCUUUUUAUUGAAUCUCAUAACCCCUUUCAUUGGUGAAAUUUUCAAGUACACCCAAUCACCUACUUCUAAUUCAAGAUCUCUCGUUCUGUUAUCGAGAUAAGACUUUUGCCAACUAUAGGAUAUUUUCAACAUACCUCUUAUCAUCCUAAUCUUUUAAAAACCUUCAUAGAUUAUCUCAGGAUCAAGGAGUGAAGACUCACCAACCUUAAACUACCUAACCGGAGACCUAUAUCUCCUACCAUAAAGUGCAUCAAAUAGUGCCAUGAAUUACUCGAAUGGUAGCUAUUUUUAUAGGAGAAUUCAAUCAACGGUGGGUGAUCAUCCCAAUUACCUUUGAAAUCUAUUACACAAACUCUUAAUAUAUCUUCUAGUGUUUGAAUGGUACGUUCCGCUUGACCAUAUAUUUGAGGAUGAAAAGCGGUUCUAACCUUCAUUUGAGUACCCAACCCAUUUCAAAAAGACCUCCAAAAAAUGAGAAGUGAAUUGAGCACCUCUAUCCAAUAUUAUGGACAAAGGGAUCCCAUGUAAGCUCACAAUCUUAUUAAUGUAUAUUCUUGCAUAAUCCUCCGCCGAAUAAGUAGAUUUUAUGGGGAUAAAGUGAGUGUACUUAUUCAACUUAUCCAGAAUCACCUAUAUUGAGUCAUUUUGCCUCUGGGUUUGAGGCAACCUUACAACGAUGUCCAUAUUAAUUCCUUCCCACUUCUAGGUAGGCACAUCCAUUACUUGGUUACACCACCCGACGUUUGAUGCUCGACUUUAACUUGUUUGCAAUUUGAACACCUAGCCACAAACUCUGCUAUGUCUCUUUUCAAAUCAUCCCACCAAUAGACCUGUUGAAUAUCACGAUACAUUUGGUUGCAUCUGGAUGAAUAGAAUAUAGGGAACCAUGAGCUUCUUCCAAAAAAUUUCCUUCAAAUUAUCAACAUCCGGUACAUACAAUCUACCUUGGUACCUAAGUACACCAUCCCCGCUUGGGAGAAUGACUCAUUGUGCCUACUAAGUACCGAUUCCUUAAAAUCCACCAAUAGAGGGAUCAAGAUGUUGUUUAAACUUUACCUCAACCACUAAAGAUGACUCGAAUUUAUGAUGAACCAUAAAACCACCUUUCGGAGAAUCUUCUAAACGAAUACCCAAUCGGGCCAAUCUAUGGACAUCCUUCACUAGGUCUUGCUUACCUUUCUCCACAUGAGACACACUACCCAUGGUCAUAUGACUUAAGCAUCCUCAACCAUGUUGGCCUUGUCGGGGUGGUAGAGAACACUCAUGUCGUAAUCCUUCAACAGUUCCAACCAUCUUCGUUGUCGGAGAUUUAACUCCUUUUGAGUGAACACAUAUUGAAGACUUUUGUGAUUGGUAAAUACAUCCACAUGAACAACAUAUACAUAAUGUCUCCAUAUUUUCAGCAAACACUACAACCGCUAAUUCAAGAUCAUGAGUUGAUAAUUCUUCUUAUGUACCUUGAGUUGUCUACAUGCAUAUGUUGCAUGAGGACAUAAUCCAAAACUACUAGAGAAGCGUCAUAAUACACCACAAAACCCUUGGUACCCACUAUUAAUGUCAACACUGUAACGGAGAUUAUCUUAUCUUUCAACUCUUGGAAACUUCUUUCACAAGCUUCCGACCAUUCAAACUUAGCAUUCUUUUGGGUGAAGGUAGUCAAAAGAUAAACAAUGGAUGCAAACCGAUCAACAAACCUCCUAUAAUACCUGGUUAAACCCAAGAAACUCUGAAUAUCUUUCAUUUUCUUUGGAUCGACCUCAAUACCUUCAUUUGAGAUAAUGUGAUCAUGAAACGCAAUUGAUCUUAACAAAAAUUCCCACGUACUGUAUUUUGCAAAGAGUUGAUGUUCCUUGAAGACUUGCAAAACAACCCUCAAAUGGUUCAUAUGCUCAUCCUCACUCUUAGAAUACACCAAGAUAUCAUCAAUGAAGACAAUCACAAAAGAAUCAAGGAAAUUUCAGAAUACUCUAUUCAUAAGGUCCAUAAAAAUCGCCAGGGCAUUAGUUAGACCAAAGGACAUCAUUAGGAACUCAUAAUGUCCAUACCUAGUUCAGAAAGGUGUUUUAGGUAUGUCUUAACCUUUCACCCUAAAUUGGUGAUACCCCGACCUCAAAUUAAUUUUAGAAAAGUAGAUUUUCCCCUGGAGUUGAUAAAACAAGUCGUCAAUCCUAUGGACAUUGAGGAUAAUGGUUAUUUAUGGUGACCUUAUUAAGUUGACAGUAAUUAAUGCACAUCCUAAGGGACUCAUUCUUCUUCUUUACAAACAACAUCGGAGCACCCAAUGGGGAAAUACUUGGUUGAAUGAAACCCUUGUCUAGUAAAUCCUUGAGUUGGACCUUCAACUCUUUCAAUUUGUCCAGAGCCAUCCGAUAAGGAAGAAUUGAUCUAGGAUUCGUAUCCGGCAACAAGUCAAUGCCAAAGUCUAUUUCUCGUUCCGGAGGAAUCCUGAGCAACUCAUCGGGAAAGACUUUCAAAAAAUCCUUCACUACGGGAUCAACUCUAAUGGAGUAAUCUCGGACUCAAGAUCCUGGACCCUCACAAUAUGGUGGAGAUCAUCUUACAAGAUAUUAGACACGAAUAAUACGACCUCUAGGGAUUGUGUUAUCCCCCUUCCACUUUAAAAUAUGUUCAUAAGGAAAUUGGAACUUAACUAACUUGGUUCUACAAUCAAUGGAAGCAAAACAAGCAUACAACCAAUCCAUUCAAAAAAUGACAUCAAAAUCAACCAUAUCAAUUUCUACCAAAAUCAACCAAUAUAACUCUAUUGGUUAAUAAUAUAUGACAACUCAUAAAUACUCUUCUAGCCAUAACGGAGUCACCCACCGGGGUUUUAACAGAAAAAAGUUUAAUCAAAACAUCGGGUAGAAUAUCAAAUUUCGUAGCUACUAAAGGAGUUACAAAAGAUAAAGUAGCACCGGGAUCUAGUAAAGCAUAGACACCAAAGGAAAAGUAUUACAACAUACCGGUGACAACAUCGGGAGAUUCCUCUUGAUCAACCUUAGAGCGAAGAGCAUAGAAGCGGUUCCUUUUGGGUGAAUCAGAACUAGGACCACUUGAUUGAGCUUGACUACUUCCCUCUUGACCCCUAGGCUUAAUCAUUAGAAAAUCCCUAACUUUAUGGCCAUAUUUUCCGCAAUCAAAGCAAUUACUCGUUCCCAUUAAACAUUCACCCAUAUGCUUCUUACCACAUUUGGAACAAGUAGGUUUCUCAGUAGGUGAAUUUCCACUUCUUGCCUUUUGGUACCUAGGGCUUGACACCCUAUCCUUACUAGCCUUGGGGAAAUUGGAAGAAACUUGGUUGGAGACCCUCUUCGUGAUCCUAGGCUUGUCUUGAAUUUCCAACCUACCCUUGGAAGUAUCUCCCUCAUAAGACAAUUGGUCUUCUUAAAUUCCCUAUUCUUCCUCUUGAUCCUAGUCUCGUCAAAUUGUUGAGCAUGCGCCAUUAAAUAUGAAAUGUCAAUGUUGUCAUGAAGCAUCACCGAGCGACACUCUUCCACAACAUCAUGGGACAUAUCCAUCACAAAACAACUCAUUUUAUCUCUAGGAUUAGACACCAAAGAUUGAGCAUACUUGGAAAACUUAGUGAAUUUCAAAGAGUACUCAAGUAAACUCAUACCUCCUUGACAAAUGUUGAUGAACUCUUCCACCUUAGCCUCUCUUUUUUCCCUUGGGAAGAACCUAUAAAUAAAGUCCCUUCUAAAGACUUCCCAACUUAUAGGACCCACUCUCAAAGAUCUAUCCAUUGAGUAUACCAUGUUUGAGCAACAUCCUUGAGUUGGCAUGAGUCUAGCUCGACCUUCUCAUUAGAAGUCACUCCCUUAGCAUACAAGAUCUUGUAGACCUUAUCUAGAAAUUCUUGGAGGUAUUCAUUCACCUUAGACCUAUUGAACAUUAUAGAGUUCAUCCUUGUUAAGUCUUUCAAGCGAGAAUCCAUGGUUCUAGCAUUUUGGUUCACAUGGGGUCUAACUUUCCGUUUUGCUUGAGCCGUCAUGGCUUGAGCUUGAGUAUCUAAGACUUGGGAUUAAGUAGUCAUAGAUUGAGUCGAAUUUUGAAAAUCCAACCUUAUCUCUCGAUCUAUCAUGGCCAAACGAAUGACCAGAACUUUAUCACCUUGUGGAGCUUGCUCUUGAAAAGGAGAUUGAUUACUUUGUGGAGGAGCUUGGUUGCCUUGUGUAGGAGCUCCCGCAUUAACAAUAUCUUUUUCAACUCUUCUUGCGGAUUCUGUUCUAGUAGUCAUAGCCUGUAAUUAUAAUUAAAGGGUUAGAAGAAAAAAGACACAUAUAGUUACCACUCUUGAGGCACUACUUUCAAGAUUACCAAAGAGAUGAGAAUUCCUAAGCAUCACAUAGCCUCUCAUUCAUAAGUGUGGCGCGUUUCACACCCAUGAACAAGACUCUGGGAGACGUGGUUUAGUGAGACAUCAAUCCUAACAUUACUUCAACCUCAUGCUCUGAUACCAAGUUUGUCACAACCGGGGAACACUCCCUAGACAUAACCAAUGUUUGUAACCUAGAAGAGAACUUGGACUAGCCCUUAGCAUUCGUCAUAACAUAUCUUAGAUCGAAAAUGCGGAAAAUUAAAAACUUUUACAUAGUGAAGUAUACUUAGACUUCUCAUAUAUCAUAUAUGAGGUUUACAUAGACUCCUUGCUUAUGAAGUUUACAUAGACUUCUCAUUUAGGGUAUAUAACCAAACCAUAAGAAAUAGUCUAAUACUUUGUCUCACAUUAAACCAUUUAAUAGAGAAUUACAAUAUUGAGCAUAACACUUACUUAAAUACAAUAUGCCACAUAUAGGCUUACAACAAUAGUCUCAAAAUAUAAAGGAAUGAACAAGUGUAUUUACACAUAAGAUACAUCAUAGAUAGAUAGAAGAAUGUCAAUAUCCUGAACAUGAAGACCUACCAAUAACUUGGGAAAAUGAUCAAGUCUUCCUUCAAAAUGGCCUCCUACACUUCAAUGGACCGAACAUACAUUGUUUGGGAAAAGAAAAAGAAUAUGGGUUAGUACAUUUACUUGUACGAAGUAUGGAAACAUAUGAACAUAAAACCUUUAAAAUGAUUCUUAAAAAGAAUUUUGUUCAAAACCAUGAUAAGUCACUUUGAAAGCCUUUUAUACACAUAUAAGAGCAUAUACAAGUCAAUAGGCAUAGCAUCAUUAAGACAAUUAAAUAUCCAACAUAAGACUAACAACAUCAUAAAGUCAUAUCAACAUGAAUAACUCCAACAUAAUGCCAUAUCAACAAUUAAUGUACAGGAGUUCAUAGCAUCAAAGCAUACAAGACCCUUACUCACCAUCCCAUCCCAAACCUACAGGUGUAAUACCCAUGUUGUAAGACCCCGAAGAUGACCCUGUUUAACUAGAGCCUAGAAUGUUAGUAUUGAUUUUAUAAGGUCCUAAAUGUUUCUAAUAAAUGGUUUAGAUUCAGUAUCUAAAGUAUUAGAGGUGUUGGAAAUCAAACGUCAAGGGACGACUAAGACGUUUGAUGACUAAGUCACCUAAAUAUCUAAAAUAUGGUUAUAUGUGUGUUUCAUGGUGUUAUAAGGUUAUUAAUAGAUUUAGUAUAGCAUGUAUAGGCAGUGGUUAAAGUUUCGUGAAUCUUGGAGGUCAAACGACCAAGAACGUCCAAGGCGUUCGAAAGAUAUGCUUUGAAUUGACCUUGUACAUCUAGGCGAGUUUUGUCGAGUUCUAUGUGUUAGUUUUUGAUGAAAUUCAAAAGAGAGGUGUUAAAAUUAUAGACGAUCGUAUUUGGUUUGGAAAAGUCCGAGAAAUUAUCCUCAAGGACCAUCUAAGGGCCCUUGAGGAAGGACCCAAAACUGUUGGCAUGGAAAUCCCAGGAGAAUCCCGAAUGAUGGAGCACUCGACGGCCAAUCAUGGCUGUGACGCCCUGUCAAAGGGUCCCUUCGUAAGGUACUUAACCAUGGGCGAGGAUAUGAACCUUGGAAAGCCACUGUUGCCACCGACGGAGGCCUGUGACGACCCGUUGAGGCUGUGAUGACCCGUCAAGGUCAGACGUCGCACGACCUGCCUUCCUGCGCAGGCUGCUGCCAAGUCAAGGGGUGAAUUGGUAAAUUCACCCCACUUCUAAAUUAAGUCAUUAACUGUUUAUUAAGGGUAUUUUGGGAAUUCUAAUUAAGUAUAUAAAGGGUAAUCACGUGGAAGACCUCAUUCUUCAAAAUCAUAAACCCAAAACUCUUAGAAAAUAUCCCAAAACCUCCAUUGAAGUCCAACUUGAAGAGGCAGCUUGGUGAGGGGUUUUUGUGUCAAAAUUAUUCAUCAAAGUGAAUAAUUAUCAUCCUUGAGUUAUGAAUUUUGAUCCUUGAAACUAGUUUCAUCAAGGAGCCCAAUUCUCAACAUGUUUUUCAAAGUUUUCUAAAGUGAAUUGUCCAAUUUCAUGAUUCUAUCAUGGGUUCUUACAUAAAUGAUUUCUAAACAUUGAAUUAUGAUCCAAUUGAUAUUGUAUUUAUGAUUUGAAUUUAAAUUUCCUAUGAACCCAUGAAUUUGGAUGAGCCCUAGUUUUUGACUAUAAUGUGGGUUACUUGAUAAUAAACUAAUAUUGAUGAAUUGUUAUGUAGUUUCUUAUGGGCUUUCUAAUGAUAUAUGAAUUUUAUUCAAUUGUUAUCUCAUUGAUCCUGUAUUGUUAAACCUAGAUUGAAUUGAUAGAGAUUUCAUUGGAUUUUAUUAUUAUUGCUUGAAUUGUUGGUUAUGGCCUUGGGUACGAGCCUUGUGAUGUUGAAUUGGACGAUUUAGCAUUGAAUUGAAGUGUGAAUAAGGGAAUGAAGGUAUGCUGCCCGCAUUUAUUUAAUUUUAUAUUAAUUAUACUUCGAUUCUAUUGUGAUUGGUAUGGUCCACUUAUGGUGGCGGUGUUAUGUGUUUUACUUGCAAUUGACUUGGCCUUAUCGGCGUUACUUUAUGCUAUAUUAUGAGCAUGGCCGUAUUGGAAACUACUUGAAGUUAUGUAGCUAUUUGUGUAGUUUGAUUAUGUGAAGCAUGACAUUACCUAUCUAUAUGUGAAGUUAUAUAUUCAUAUAUGUAUUCUUCUACUUAUGUUGCCUUAAGUUUCAUGCUAGACUAUGACUUUGACAUUAUGAUUAUAGUGUUAGGCUAAGUCUUGGUUAUUCCUAAUUGACUUUAUGAGUCUAUGUGGAGUAUAUUAAUGAUUUUAUGAUUAUAUAUAUAAGGACUUGAAGAUGUUAGGUUGUUUUAGAGGUGUUUCUAAAAUGACUUGUAUUAUGUGUUAAAAGUGAAGUAUGUGAUGUCUUGUCUUGAUUGACUUGUACCUCUUGUUUGAUGUAUAUAUGAUUAUGAAUAUGUGAUGUCUUGAUUUUGGGUGUUAGAACUCUUAGUCUUGAAUGUAUGAAUGACAUGUGACCUUAAAUAAUGAUAUGAGGGUCUAUUAUGUGAAAACCUUGACUUAAGGGUAAUGUUAAGAAUGAUUGAAGUGUAAGGCGUAAUGGUAUCCUUCAAAGUACAGGAAUGAUGGGCUUAAGGUUAGUUGGCUUGAAAGACAUCAUAUUAAUCCUUAGGAAACUCAUCAUGAGCUUCUUGUCGCCAUUGUGUGGUAGCCUUAGUGGACCUUCCUUGGUAGGAUAAAUGUGAUUGGGUUAUGAACUAGUUAUGGAACCUUUUUAUGUGAACCUAAUGUAUGAAUUACUCGAUGAGAACGAAGGCUAUCACCGAGUGAGUAUGGUAAGGGAAAGUAGUUCUAGUUAAGUAUGAGACUAGAAUACAAAGAAGCCCUUCAUAUUCCUUAACCAUGUGCCUACAUGGGAUGUGUCCAAGUUCUACCAUUGGCAAGUAGAACAACCUCAUCGGAGUAGGAUAGAACUUCGGAUUCCAUGUCUUGCUAUCAUGGUCUAUGUCAGUUAUUGCCUAUUCUCAUCAUAUGGAAUACCUAUUAGCAUUUCAAGAGUUUAUGAAGUUUAGGUGGUGGUACGGGACACUAUCUUGACAUUGCACAAUAGACUUUGAAGGUGUUAUGUGGAGUUCCUACGUCUUGUCUAAGACCAUUAUUUGAAUUUACUUUAUGUGAUGUAUGAUUCUUAAUGAACUACUGACUUAUGUUAAGGAGUAUGUAAAUAAAUGAGUACCUAAUCUAAAGUGGAUUAAGGAUUCCUUAGCUAAGUGAAAAGGGCAUAAGAGAUGAUCUCUUCAUGUCUUAUCUUUGGAAGUCUUGAGGAUGACUCUAGUUAGGGAAGUUGGUUGAUUUUUUGGACAUGAUCUAAGCCUUAGGUAGUCUUAAGGACUAUUUAGGUAAUCUCAAAGAGGUCACUAUAGACGUUAUCUUCUUGAUUUACUUAAGUAGGUCUUUUGAUAGCCUUUGGGAAGAGAAUGUCAUAUCAUCUAUGUGUUGGUGAUUUAUGUGAGUAUGAUUCUAUCUUAGGGAGUCUAUAGGAUCUCUUAAGUGUGUGUAAGGGAUUGUUGGGGCGGUCGCUUUACAACUGUCUCAAGUGAGACUUAGAGUUCACCUUUGGUAGAAGAAUCUUACCUUGAUAUUUGUGAUUGCUUUGUAAGUAUGUAUCUGACUCAUUAUAGGUAAUCUUAAGGGUCGUUUAGGCAAAUCUAGAGAGGGUGUAUGGGCGGUCUCUCUUUGUGUGACUUAAGUGAAUCUUAGGAUGGCUUUAAGUGAGGAAAUUACAUGCUAGAAGUAUUUUAUGUGUUUUCUAAAUUGAUUUAUGAUGUUAUUAUGAUUAUAAUAUGUUUUGAAAAAAUGAAAAGAUGCAUAUUUCCAAUAAAGUCCGUUUUCAUGAUUUUUAUGCAUAUAGCCAUACUUAGUACAUGUGGUUGUACUAACUCCAUGCUUUUAUAUAUCUAUAUAGUUCUUGGUAGGUGAGGAGCUUUGAGAAGUGAAGACUUGGACUUAGAAGAUCGUUCAAGAGAAGUUGAAGUAUGUCCUCACUUGACUCGAGGGCAUAUACGUAUUUUAUGUUUCUUAUUGAAGUUUUGUAAUAGAAUAAGUAUUUCUAUAUUUGUAUUUUGAAGUAUGGGUCGUGUACCAAGUAUUCUUGUGUCUUAAGAUGAUGAGAUUGAGACUUAGUAUUUCCUAUUACUUUUAUAUGAAAGAAAUGUUGAAGACUAUAUUAUGUUUUUUGAAAAGUUUAAUUCCGCACUACUUUUCACUAUGUAUAUGCAAUGAAUAAUAUGAAAGAAGCUUGUCUAAGAACUCUGAGAGUUCGAUGACGCCGGUCUCAAUCCGAGAUUGUGCCCUAUAUUCUAGGGUUUGGUCUUGGGUUAUGACACAUUUGAAGCCCCAUAACCCCACAUAACCAAGUAAACAAGAAAAGAGAUCAUAAGUAAUGUCUUACUUCAUAUAACAUAACAUCAUGUGUAGUCAACAUCAUAUAUAACCACUUAGACCAAUAACAUGUUUAUCAAUGAAACUAAAAUCAUAUAGGACCAUCAACAUGUAAAGUCAGCAUAUGCAUUUCAUUCAUAGCAUAAGAGCAUAAGAAUAACCUCUUAGGACUCCCCUCCAGGCUAACUUGUGCAAUGUAUAGGUAGAGUCCUAUACCCCUACCUACACUAUGUAGAACCCCUUAAGUACAUCCUAGUGAGUGUUCAGUUUAUUACUUUGAUUCAUUUCAUUUUACUUUGGGGAACAAUGGCCUUAACUAUAUAAUAGACCAUCUGAGCUAAACAUGGAUUUCGGUGUCAUGAAACCCCACACCGAAAACAUUGACAUAGAAUUCUAGGUGGAUCCACUUGCUAGUAUUCCUAUGGAGGCAACAUAGUUAAGGAACUAGAAGAUAUGUAUUGAACCCUUUACAUUCCCAUUAGGAUUGGAGUCCUCAUCUCAUGAGAAACCAUAGGGUGAACCUCCCUUCCAUUUUGGAGUCAACACCACUCAUUGUUAAGUUAAUUAACUCGGUGCUAAGCUAAAGUCCUUUUUUGAAAUACCUUCUAGCCUUUCUUAACCAUCAUAUCUUAAUAUAGGCCAUAGGAGACUAACCCCUUAUAUUAUCAUGAUAUUAUAUCAUUAGGUAUUCUAUGAGAAUUUCCUUUCAAGACAAUCCUUUAUGUAGUGAGAUCAUCAUAUCAUAGCAAGGAACACAAGUGAUUCAUAUUUAACCUUGUAUCAUCAUAUCCUUAACAUAAUCUUACAAUUUAACAUUUUCAUGGAAUUUCAACAUAAUAAUCAUAUCAUCAUCUUCUUAAUCUAAUAACAUAUAACACUUCAAUUGAAAAAUUAUCAUCAAGUAUAAAUCAUCAUAAUUGAAGUAAAGAACUUAGAUCAUAAAGUCGUUCCAAAUAACCUUCAAAAGUCUUCUUCAAGAUCUUAUCAUCAGUCCAACAAUAUUCAUCCAUCAAUUCACUUAUUAUCACCAUAUAAUAUUAAUUAUACAAGAACUAAGUCAAUUGUAUUAUCACUAAUCAAAUCAAUCUCAAUUCAUUACCUAGGGUUAAGGAAAAAGAUUCAAUCAUGGAUUCUUUCAUAGAACUACGUCAAAUUCUAAGAAAUAAAAAAAUUAAACCAUAAAAAUCAUAAUAUAUCAAUAAUAAUAAAACAAAUUCAACAUCAAAUCCAAUUGAAUGAUCAUUCACGAAAGUGGAAGAAAAACCAUGUUUUUGACAUAAUUAGAAACUAAUUUUGAAGAGCCUCUUGGGGAAAGAGAUCUCAAGAGUGAAUAGCUUCAAUACCUUAGGAUUACUUAAAUAUUUAUGGAGAAAAUAUUGAGUCUUGAAUCCCUAGUGAACCUUGAAGAUGUAUUCAAUGGGGUCUUGAAAUAGAGAGAGAAAGUAGAGAAAAGUUGGAGAGAAUUAGGUUUGGGAAUUAUAAGGUGUUAAGUUUGUUUAAGACUUAGGGUAGUUUAUAUAAUCAUUUAACUAACUUAAAUAACCACCCCUUAACGCUUAAUUAAUCACCUCACUAAUAAAAGCUUGGCCGAUUUUAAGACAGUGCACCAGACCCAAUCGACGACUGCACAUUGACGGCCCGUCGACUAGACCACGAUAUCGUACUGGAGCUCCGUGGUUUUGCUCAGAGAGGGUGUUUUGAACCCUUUUUGAAAUGUGUCUAUGUCCUGACCAACGACCUCCAUCAUGGGCCGCUGACCCAUCGACGACUCGUCUAUUGGUUCCGUCCUUAGCCAUUAUCAAGUGACCCUAAACAAACUCUAACACACGUUUAACACCUUUUUACAAAAUUUGACUGAACUCCAACUCUUAAAACUCCUUGAAAUAUGCCAAGGCACUAGUUCACAUUUAUGAUUCUUCGGACAUCAUGGUCGUUUCUUAAUGUUUUGACUCUAACACUUCCUAACUAGUUCCAACACAUUAGUUUAUGCUUAGAAACAGUGUUUUAAGGCUUGGUUCAUAUAGUGAGGCUCUAGAAUAAGUCUUGGGUUUUUGGAGAGUUAGAGAGUAUGGUUUGAUUGUGAUGGAAGUCGUUCCUACACUUGCGUUCUAAGAGUUUGAUACUCCUUUUCGGAAUAUAUACCAGUUCGCUGAUAAGAAAAAGAUCCACAUUGUGUUGUUUUUUUUUAUGUCAUCCACACCUGUGGUUUGUUUGAGAAUUCAUCUUCUUGGGAUGCUCUUGGAAAAGACUGAGAUAAAACUCAUCAGCAUAACAAUGUAAUCUAAACUAGGAAAUAGUGUCUUUUACCGUGUGGACACUUAGCUACUCCCUUCAAAUAAUUGACUUCAGUUUUCUUUCAAUUUUAUGCUUAGAAAAUAAUGCUUAAAUCUGAUAUUUGCUAUAUAAUUCUUCAAUGUACUUUUUUUUAUAUGAAGUAAUAAGAAAUAGAUUGAUGUGAUAUGUUGAUGACUCUCUAGAUGAUGUUAUUGAAAAUGAAAAUAAUGAUGAGGAUUCUUUAUUAGUAAGAUGAUGAUAAUCCAUUGGUAGCACGAUGAUAAUCCAUCAGUAGGAUAAUGCUACUACAUGAUAAGAUGAGAUGAUGCUACUCAAUCGAUAGGAUGAUGAUGAUGAUGCUACUGAAAAUUUUCCGUAGGAUAACAUUGAUUCAUUGGUAGGAUAAUAUUGAUGAUCAUUGAUAAGAUAAUGAUGAUCCACUGGUAGGAUGAUGAUAAUAAUCCAUUGAUAGGAUAAUGUUGAUGAUCCAUUGAUAGGAUAGUGAUUAUCCAUUAGUAAGAUAACGUUGAUGAUCCAUUGAUAGGAUAAAUGAUGAUCCAUUAGUAGGAUAAUAAUAAUGAUCCAUUGAUAGGAUAAUGAAGAUUAAUUGGUAGGCUGAUUAUCAUUAUCCAUUGAUAGGAUAAUGAUGAUGAUUCUUCAUUGAUAGAAUGACGAUAAUAAUAUGAUAAUGAUGUUGCCCCAGCGAUAGGAUGAUGAUGAUGAUGAUCCAUUGAUAGGAUAAUGAUAAUAAUCCAUUGAUAUGAUAAUAGUGAUCUAUUAGUAGGAUAAUGAUAAUUAUUCAUUGAUAGGAUAAUGAUGAUCCAUCGGUAAUGUUAUGAUAAUGAUCCAUUGGUAGGAUUUUCACGCUCAAAAUCUAGACCUCGGAUGAAACCGGGGUCGUUAACCUCUCAGAGGUUGCAGACAAGACUCUUCUAGCUUUCAUCACAAUCAUACAAUUAAAUUUGUGGAAAUAUUUUAAACUUUUAAUAUACUAAUGAAGUAUACUUAGACUUCAUACUUAAUAUUUAUAAAAACAUACGAUAUUCUAAAACUAUUGUCUCACAUAUAUAGAAACCAUAUAAAGAGUGCAAAUCUGAACUUAGCCAAUAAUAGUUAAUAUCCCCUAUAGGUCUUAUUACAAAAGAAUCCAAAGAACAUAAUGAAAAUAGCAUAUUCUUAAAACUACUAAGAAUCUACGUAAGCUAGAAUAUGAAAGAUAGCAUCCCCGAACAUGAGGACCUACCAAGACUUGGAUAAAGAGUUACAAGCUUCUUCAAAUCGACCUCCUUAAGCUUCAAUGAUCAGAACAUACAGUUGUAGUAAUGUAAAGUAAUGGGAUUAGUACGCCACAUGUAGUAAGUAUGGGCAUAUGCACAUAACACAUAAGGGCAUGCAUGAAAAAGAAUCAUUUAUCAUAUCUUUAUAAAACAUGUCAAGCCAUAUGAAAAUCUUCAAUGCACAUACCAUAUAAUAUAUACAAGAUAAGGAUUUCAUUGACAUCAAAUAUGAUAAUAAUUAAAGGCGUCUUAUCAUAAAGUCACAUCAACAAUUUAUAUUCAAUAAAUCAUAUAAAUAUAACAUACAAAACACUUACCAAUGUUCCCAUCCCCAACCUAAAAGUGCAAUGGUCAUGUGAAGCCCCAUAACCCCACAUAACCAAGUAGAUGAGAUAGGAGACCAUAAGUAAAGCUUUGCUUCAUAUAACAAUAUAACUCAAUAACAUAUUCAUUAUAAUAGCCAACAUUCAUGUAAGAGUAACAUUAUAUAUAAUAAACAUAUAUCUUUCACAUCAUCAAAUUACCUAAGAAAAAUCUCCUAGGACUUCCGUUAGAGUCAACUUGUGCAAUGUCUGGGUAGCAUCACAUACCACUACCUAUCCUAAGACAACUCCUCAAGUCACCCUAGUCAACGUUCAUUUACUUGUCUCUCAUUUUACAUGAGGGAACAUAUGCAUUAACCGACAUAGACCAUGUGAGCUAACAUGGAAUCCGAUGUCUUCCCCACAACAAAAAGAGGUGGUCUACCGGCCAAAGUAAAACCUACAUGACAUAGCUUUCUAGGUGGAUCCACCAGCUAGUAUCUUAUGGUGACAACAUAGUUCAAGAACUAGGAGAUGUAUUGGAGACCCAUAGUUCCACAUUACAUGGCAGCGUUAAUUUCAUGAGAAUCAUUGUGAACCUACUUUCCCCUAGGGAAGGGACAUUUCCCAUAUCUAGUUCAUCGGUGCUUAGUUUAAGUCCUUUUCUUGAAAUAACCUUUAAUUUUUUUUCAUAAUAAACUUAUCAUAGGUCAUAGGAGAUUAUAUCCUUGUAUAACAUGAUCAUGAUCUCUUUUAGAUUAGAUGAGAAUUGUCCUUUCAUCGUAACCUUCUUUUGUGAGAUUAACAUAACAUAAUCACCUUGUGUAAAGCAUACAAGCAAUAUCAUAAACUUGCAUAUUCGUGUUCUUAUCAUGAUCUCACAAUUUACAUAUUCAUAGACAACAUAUUCACAUGGCAACAUCGUACAUACUUUUUAUAACAUGGCAUCACAACUUAUAGGCUAGCAUAAAUAUCUUAGAGUAAUCACAGUUUUAAAAGACUUAUCUCUUGUUUCCAAGAACCUUAUUCAUCAUGCGAUAUUCAUAAUAAUACUUAGUGAAAUACUCAUUGACAUAAUCAAGAACAACUCAUAAAAUCAUGUACAAGAUCAAUACAUAGCAUAGGAGAAGGAAACGGGUCAUUAAAGGGUUCAUUCAAAUCUUAGAUUCUAACCGUAACAUUUACAUGUUAUUACGUCAUAGAAACAAUCAUAUGAAACCUUCAUAUAGGUAAGAACGUUCCUCACACUAAAUUCAAACAUAAUUAUCAGCAUACUCAUCAAGUUGUGUGGAAUGGUGCAUAGAAAACACAUACUUUUCAUUGAAAAUAAUAAAUCUAGGCUAGGAAGAAAAUCCAUUUUGUAUUGUAAAAACCCUAGAAUUGAAGUUCUUGAAAACUUAUCUUGAAAGGACGUCUUGGGGAAAGGAAUACCAAGAGUGAAAACUCAUACCUUAUAGAUGAAUAAUCCAUGAAUUCUUGAUUGGAAACUUUGAAACCUUUGUCUUCUUCCUUAAACUUUUUUUGUUGUUCAAUGGAGUUUGGAAAAGAGAGCGUUCUUGAGAGAUUAAGAGAAUUUCGUUUGAUUCUGAUUUGGGACGUUUAAAUGUGGUCUAAAUUUGAUCUAAAAUCAUUAUACAUAUGUGCCAAGACUCACCCUAAAGACCCUCGACUUAAAUUUCCUAAAACGCCCCUCCUAAAUUGAUUACAAGUAGGAGAACGUUUGACUUAGGGUCUCGGGUUUUGACUAGGAAUUAAAUUAAUUAAUUAAGUUGCUAAUUUAAUUAAUUAAGUGACCUAGGGUAAUUACUAAAGUACCCCUAAGUUGUUAGGACAUAACAAAACCUUUUGGACAAUCCUAUGUUAAGUACUAGGAUGUUUCUUUAAUUAGUUAUUCAUUUAGUGUUACCCGGUUAGGUCUUAGGUAGUCGGGUUCACUUGUUAGUUUAUUUUUGUUUGUCCUAUGUUAGUUAGAUAUUUAGGUAAGUUAGUUAGGUCGUAGGACUGGUUAGGAAUCUUGACCCCAUGUGGCUUGGACCGCCGUGCGCCUGCCCCCUAACCGAAUUUGGUUGGACUUGGUUCCUUGUCUCCUGGCCGGCAGCACAUGUGUUCUUGCGCCCUUCUUGUUGUCCUAAGGAUCCUCACUAUUUCCUUGGGCACUACUUAAUCUACACGAUCAUUUUAAAAAGUUAUGUGCUAUGGUACCUAGGUUUGACACUUGGAUGCCUCGUACCUAAUGUGUUUACUGAUUGAUUACGAAUUAUAUCCUAGGGUCUUCAUUGUAGGUACAAUUUCUAAAGAAGCUUGGAUUGGGGAAUUUGAACAUCAAAGUAUAUCUUAAUACAUAGAAAUUGGCUAAACAUCAAAGUGUAUUUUAAGUUACUUGUUAAUAUAUAAAAAUUGGCUAACACCCUUAAGUCAAUAUUCUCUAACAUGCCCAAUAUUACUAAAUAUUGGACAAUGGGAUGUCAAUGUACCCCAAUACAUAUUCUUAAAACCUAAUAGACCCUUUACUAGACAAAUAUAUUUUCUGGGAACAUCAUUAUUAAAUAGAUUAAGCUCUAUUCUAAGUCAUGGAAUUUCCGGAGUGUUACAAGGAUAAUGCUAAUGAAUAUCCAUCAAUGCGAUGAUUUUGAUCCAUUAAUAGGAUAAUGAUAAUGAUCCAUUGAUAGGAUAACGAUAAUGAAUAUCAAUUGGUGGGAUAAUAUUGAUCCAUAGGUUGGAUACUGAUAAUGAUCCAAUGAUAGGAUAAUGAUGAUGAUCCAUUGAUAUUAUAAUGAUAAUGAAGAUGAUAAAGAUUCAUCCGAAGUAUGAUGCUGAUAACGAUAUGUCGAUAAGAGUAUCCCGAUAAUAAUUAAUUUCUCAGCUUCCUAAUUUUAAAUGAUUUAGAAUAAUUAUCUUUAUAAAACUCAAAUAUCUUUUUGAGGCUACUUUAAGUAAUUUUAGCAGAAUAUAAUAGCAUUUUAUAAUUAUAUAUGUAAUAAGCAUAUUUUAUAAACAUUUCAAAAAUAAUCUCAAAAAUAUAUUAAUUUUAGUAAAUAGUUUAUUAAAUUAGUUUAAAUUAUGAUUAUAUAUUUGAAUCUUUAGUUUACAAUUAAGUUGUCUAUUUAAUACAUUAGGAUUAAGAAACUCGUUAAUUAAUCUAUACUAAUUAUCUUAUGUAGUUAUUGGUCAAUUACUUUAAACGCUUUAAAAGACCAAAAAUUGAGCUUGUUUCCAUCAACCAAACUUUCGGCAAAACCGACCCAAUUUAAUUCCAAAGAAACCCAACAAUAUUAGCCGAACCCCAUAACACAUUCCAAAUAACCCAGCAGCGAUGCAAUACAGUACAAUAAACCGACCCAUGCAUUCUUCCUCUUUUUCCUCGUGUAGUCCAGCGAAAAAACGUGAAACACAAAAACUCAUCCAGCCUAGCGAACUAAACUUGCGACCUGAGCCCACUCUCGCGCGUCAUCCUCUUCUCUCCGUAUGGAGACCAUUUUGAAAAAUCAUCCUUCAUCAUUGAGGUUGAGCAGUCUUUACGCCUUUCUAGUCCUUGCCUUGCCUGGAGUCAACGGUUGUUCUCUUUAUCCCUUUGAGAAAUUGUACAAAUAUGUACAAGAGUAGAGCUAGAAUCCUUAUCCAAGAGGGGAUUCGAAUUUCAAAUUCACCCCUUUGCUUUACCUGAUUUCCACCCAUUCGGCCCCGUCUCCUCAUCUAUAUAAACACUCUCUUCCUUAGAAAGUUAAGGGUUGGGAAAAACAGAGAUUUUUUAGUAGGGAAGUAGAGUUUGAGAAAUAUAUCCUCAUGCAAGAAUUUAUUGAGAAAAAAGAAUCACUAAACUACAACAUUCAUGUAAGAAAUAUAUCUUAAUAUAUACUUCCCUUCUCUGUUUGUGAGUCAAUGGGAAGUUUUCAGAUUUUUGAAGUCUGAAGUUGUGUUUGAAGUCAUUGAUCCUUUGCUCGUCUUGUCUCUUCCGGAAAAGGUAACACUUCUUCGUUUGUGUCAUUCUCCUUGUCACUUCCUCUAUAUCGACACGUUGUUAUCGAAUGUUAUAAGGAUCCUUAUUCCGUGGUUGUUUGUUAUUAACUACCAUUGACUAAUGAUCUUUUUAAAUUAACACAAAUAUUGUUAAUGCCGAUCGCCGCGCCCGCGGCCUUCGUUGUUUCUGCCGUAGCCGCCGCGACUCCCCUGCCGGCCGCCACCAUGCCCCUCAUGAUAGUUCUGGCUUGCGGUGAGGGCAGUGGCCAGCUCCAUAACAGCGGAUUCUCGGAGAAGAAGUUUGCUCUCCAGAUCCACGUUGAUUUCUUCACUUUUUAGCCACGAGGAGAGAGUAGCCAGGUCAACGGGCGUUGGACUGAUGCGAACCGCCUGUUUAAUGGAGGAGUAAGCUAAUGGGAGCCCCCGAACGACGCACAUGACGAGAUCUUUUUCGGGAAUGAUUUCGUUCACGGUGUCGAGGGCUGUGAUGAUGGUGGAGACCUCGUCUAAAUACUCCGCCAUAGUUUUCGUGCCUUUGGUAAUUGUGUGGAGACGAUCACGCAAUUGAAAAAUAUGAGAGUGGGAAAUUGAUGCAUAGCGUGUUGCGAGGGCCGUCCACAGGGCUGAAGCAGUUGUGUAGGAUCGGACGUGUUUCUGAACCGUGGGAGAGAUGACCGCAAUCAAACAUGAACGGAUCUGGCCAUCCACGGCUUUCCAGACGGCAUGGGACGGAUUGGUUUUUUCUGAUUUGUCCAUGGCGGUGAUGACUGCCGGCGGCGGUUCUGUGCUUCCAUCGACGUAUUUGAGAAGGUAAUUGGCCUCAAGGGCUGUAAGAACGGUGAUUUUCCAUGUAGGGUAAUUUAUGUCAGAUAAUUUUUUGGGAAUCAGGGCAUGAAGAUGCCUGAGAAGGAGUUUAACGCCAGAAGGAAGUGAAUCGAGAGGAUCCACCUCGGUUGUCAUGGCUGCCGCCGCCCAAGAGAAGAGCGGGAACGAUCGGUGCCCUAAAGAGAGAAAAAAAACCUAGAGAAAAGAUGAUCUAGAUUUUCUGGCUCUUGAUACCAUGAAGGAAUAUUGGUUGUAUUGAAGUGUUAACCUAAUAAGGGAAUACAUGGGAGAUAUAUAUAGGAGAUAUAGGAAGGAAUACUAAUCCUAAUAGGACUAGGAUUAAGGAGUACUAAUCCUAAUAGGACUAGGAUUAGUACACAGUAAAUACUAAUAUUAUUUAAUACUAUUUAUUUAAUGCUAUCUAUUAUUAUGAUUCAAUGAUUCUAUGCUUGUUUUUUACUUGUGUUUCUUCUUGUUUCAAUGCUUCAUCUCUAAUCAUUUAAACUAGUUUUUCCUCUUCAUUUGGUAUGUUCAAGAUGCGUGUUUAACACUGUUUAUCAUCUCUUUGUACCUUUUAGUAAUAAAUAUCAUUUCCUUUGUCUUAGCUCUCGAUUGCAUGCUCAUUAUCGUUCUCUGUCUUCUUGCAAUUUGAUGACAAGCUGGUCAUAGUCUCGAUAAUUAUGUAUUGAAGAUCUGAUCUUGUUUGUUAGAUGAAACAUGUUUCUUCUUCUCAUUCAUGCCUAAAAUUUCAUUAAAAAAGUAGAAUAUUUUACCAAUUUUAUCCACUUCUUUGCUCUUGUUCAACAAGCUUAAGUUUAUCCUAUACAUGAAUUUAUUACUUCGUUUGCUAAGUCUCAUAUUGCAUUUUAGUGGCAUCAACUAUAAUGGUCAGCUCUAUUUUUAGAUUAACAAUGACUUAUUUGUCAUUAUUUUGUCUAAGUAAAUAGGCCUAAUUCCCUUCCAUUUAGUCACUGUUAGCCAUACGUCUUAGUUGUCACUACUAUUUGGUGUCCUACUAAUUAUUUGGGGAUUAGUUUUAUGUUUAGUGAAAGCUCACUAAGUAUUGUAUGCAUUUCUUUGUCAUCUUGCAGUAACAUGCGGAUUUAACUAAUCAUUAGCAUGCGUACUUUCCCCUUAUUUCAUUUUUAUGUCUUAGUUGUAUUAUAUAGAUUUAAGGUGCGCUUAUUUCUAAUUUCUAUCUUUGUUUCGUUCUUUCAAUGUAUAAAUCGGCUUCCCUAGAGUCUUUGAAGACUCUUUUUCCUUGCAUUCCACUGAUUGGGCCACAAAGUCCCAAUUUCCUCUCUUUAUCGAGUCGGCAGGUUCAAAAAGUUAAAUUACAGGUUUCCGAAGGUUAAACAAAGCUGAAUGCGAAUUUUCGAGCUCUGAAGUGCCCAAAAAAGGGGUUAUAUACACUAAUAUAUUUGAUGUAUACAGUGGUGUACUGUAGGAAGUAUAACAUACGGGUACAAAAUACGACGAAGCAGGUUGAAAGAUACAGAUUAAAACGAAAAUAUAGAUUCAGGAGUCCAAAAACAAGUCAUAUAAAUGGUGUGUAUAUCAGUUAUAUAGUUGGUGUGUUUCUUGUCAUUUGAAAGUGCAAAGAAGCCCCAAAAGUUUAAAAGGAUGGACCAACAACUGAAUUUUGAGUAAACAUGACCAAACUGAUGUUUUGGGUAUUUUAGUAUUAUGAGAGGUUCAUGGAUUUGAGCUAAAGGCCCAAAUUUAAUACUUCCUCCCCUUUCCUACUAUUUAUUUGUUAUUGUGUUAACUAACAUUAUAUUUAAUCUUUAGUUUUGGCUUAGUUGACUCCCAAAGAAAGUCAUUUCUCAUUAUAAAUUUUAAUUUUAUUUUCACUAUUCGUCUUAUUAACAUUUGAAAUUAUUUUCCUUAGAAAAUCCCCCGUUAGUUUGUUUCCAUUUGAAAUAAUUAAUUAGAAAACUAAUAGAAAUAAGUAAAUAAAUAAAAACUGAAUUUUCUUUACUUAGUUAAAAUUUAGAAAAAUUAUUUGCAAAACGUCAUUUUAGUCAAAUCACCGGUCAAUCGAAAGUUAGCCGACAUUCCGAGGGUCUAACACCUUCUCGAAAUGUACAUUGAAUUUCGAACCUAUUUUUCGAAUUAAUUUUAUCUGUUAAGUCCUUUUUAAGACCUAAAGUUUUUUUUCUUGAUUUUUAAUUACUAAAAAAUUAAGUGUCGACACUGUUUAUUUGAAAAUUUUAUUUCACUUAAAUCAUAAGUUUAAUCGUUUUUUCAAAAAUCUAGUAAUUUUUCUUUUCUUUAUAUUUCAAAGUAAAAUAGAAAUGACGACUCUGCUGAAAAAUUAAUUAAAAUCUAACAAAAAAGAUUUGACUAACUGACUAAUUGCUAUUAUUGGAUUCUUUAUCUAUGAUUAUUGUGUUUAAAUUUUAUAACUAUCAUUGCAAUGCAUCUUCCAAUAUGUAUGUAUAUUAUAUUAAAUAACGGUUUGCGAAACCGCAUCCAGAAUUUUUUAUGCUAUUUUCUAAAAUUAUCGACAAUUUAUUGGUUUGUCAUCUGUCCAAUGGUUGUUUUAAGUUCUAGCCUAAGUUGUCCACUUGGGUUCUUGGUCUUUUCAAAAGUCACUCUUAGUCAACUAGCGUAGAGCUGAACCAAAUCUCGAAUUUAAGAGCAUUUUGAACUACGAUGACCCAACAACCAAGGCGUGCUGGGCCAUGAGAAGCACACCUUGUGUGUAAUCGGUCCAUUUGCCAAUAAAUAGACAAUAAUGUGUAUCUGUUAAUUGAAGAAUGUAUAUGUAUUUUAAAACAAAUUUAUUGUUUAGGGGGGUAGGGGUAUCUAACCUUUUUUUGUUAUUCUUGUAGGAUGAAUCCAACACAUGAGUCUCUGAAAACUCGAAUGGUUAUCUUAAAUGAUCCUUACCUCAAAGUGUAGUGGACAUUCAUAAAUUAUACAGACAAAAUAAAAUUUCAUAUGCUCAUAGGCUACCUCCCGUCACUAUUGGAAAUGAAGGCUUGGCCCGGUUUAAUUAGAACAAUGGAAAAGUUUUGGGAUAGUGAAAAUAUGGUAUUUUGGUUCAGAGAAGUUGAAACGACAUCAACUAUUGUAGAGGUCUUCACAAGCUAUGAGAGUAUCGACACGUGCAACAAGAGGAAGCGACAACCAGAUACAGAUUUUCUAAACUCCAAAAUAUGGGAUUUCUACAAAAUCAAAGAAAAAUUGUCACUCGUCAUAGUUGUGUGGAUGGUCAAGCUUAUCGGACCAAACAUUCCAUUUAUAAAGCUCUAUUAUCGAUUUGGACGUGCAAGAGCUUACGAGAAAUUUAAAGAAGAGUUCAUCUCAAAAGAAAAAUUGAAGGAGCACGCCCUCUCGCCUUUGCGAUAUGCUUACUUGGAAUAAUGGUGUUUCCUCAGAGACCUAACUACACUAUUCAUCCAAUUAUAGUAAUGAUCACUCAUGGCAUCUUCUACAGAGUGAACUACAAGUCAUUAACUAAGUACUACACUUUGGCGCCUAUGAUCUUGGCCGACAUUUACAGGGCUCUAGAUAAGUGAUAAUAUGAGGCCAAAAAUAUAUAUUUUAAUCAUUAUUUGCCUCACAUUUAUUAUUUAUAUUUUUCCUUUUUGAGCAUGAGAUUUAUGGAUUGUGCUAAAUAGUGUAUUUUAUUUGUAGGAAUAAAUUACCAUAAAGUUGAAGAAGUUUUGAGCUAAAAUUAAUUAAAUAUAAAAGAUUGGAGAAGGAAAUCAAGUAGACAACUUAAUGAAUUAAAUUCAACAUUUUAAUGUAUAAAUAUGUUAAGUGUAGUUAGUUGCAGCAAACAACGAAAAUCCAAGAAUCCUUACUGCUACGUGGCAGCAGUUGAAUGCAACAGAAGUGGCAUUCUUUUUAGGUGGCAAACCAACGUAGCAUUUGGAAGCGGAAUUUCGUUUGGUUUUGAAUUCCCAGUUUGUUUUGGAUUUAGUUUUUUAUUUAGGGUUUUAUACAUCUUUAAAUAGUUCAUAGAAAUAACUAUUGAGAGGUAUCAAUCUAGAGAGGAGGUACUUUGGAAGAGAAAGUCGUCAAUACUAUUAGGGUUCUUUCCUACUUCAUGUUUUCUUAGAAAUUAGUAGCUAAAGUCCUUGUUUUGGGGCUGUAGAUACGGAUCAAAUGUUGAUUAUUAAUGGUGUUUUGAAUUAAUUUUUGAUUGUCAUUAUAAGUUACUUCUAUAUUCUUGUUUCAGUAGUUCGUGCUUGAUCACCAUGAGAUAAAUCUAUUGUCUAAUCUUAAAAUCGAGAGAAGAGAGAUUAGAUAGACCAGAGAAUAUAGAGAGCUCGAUUGACCCAUUAAAUUGAGGUGAUUUGUAUUUAGGAGUGAUGCCCGGAUGAACAACUUUCUUGGUUACGAAAUAGGAUGAAAUAUAAAUGUUCGUCAACUAGUUCACUUAUCCCUGCUCAACGAUGUAGUUAGGUAUCUAAUUGGAGUUGGCGACAAGAGGUGUUACCCCACUCAUACAAGUAACUGUAUAAACCAGUAACUUGACAACUAAAAUUAGUUCUAAGCCAAAAAUAUAAUACAUGAAAUCCAAUAUAUGCUGCAGCCCUGGGAUUUUUCAACCAUUGUAAGUAAAUUUAUUAUUUUAUUCUUGCAAUCUUUUGACACUCUUAAAUAAAUAAUUAGACUAGUAUAAUUUAGUAAAAGUAAUUAAUUGGCAAGUACUUUGAAAUUGAUAAUUUGGUUCUUUUUAAGAGUCACUAUAUUACUUACACGACUACAUACACUUGUGUGUGCAAUUGGGAGCAACAAGUGUCAAAGCGUAGAACGUUUAUUUAAGGGAUGCAACCUAAUACUUCAAUGGUGGAUGAUGCGACAUAUGAUCAACACUAAUAAUCCUAAAGAACCAGAUCACGUAAGACGGUCCGACAAACUUGAAGGUCACAAUUGGUGGAUGUACCAUAAUCAUUGCAACAAAAUCGGAGGGGAAAGUUUAUGGUAUCCGAGACUUCAAGGGUUAAGAGAAGAGAAUGUGCAGUGGUCGAUACAAAGUAUAGUGGUGACAAAGAAAAUGGAUAUUCAAGCGGAAAAGGUCCCUUACUUGAUAUUUGCUGGAUUAAGAGGGACUAUACCGUAAGUUCCAGGUCGAGUCCUUCGGCAACUACGGGGUAAAUAGGAGAUUUUCAAAUUGCGGACAUGAGAAAAUUUGCAACCGAUCAUGAAAAUGAACGAAUUACUUUUGCUGAAGACAUACGUGGAAUACGGAGUACUCAAAGGGUAUUGGGUGAGCCGGUACCAAACAGGUUUCAUCCUGAAUGUUCUAAGGAUUACAAUGAAUGGUUGAAGAACAACCUCGCUAGAACUAUUGAGUCUGGUCCGAAUGUUACUCACAUUAUUACAAUUGUUGGAUCCAAACAUCAAGUUAGACUUUAUCGACUCCAAGAGAAGUUUGAUAAGAAUGAGUUGGAGCAUCAACGCUGGCAUGCAGAAGACGCUGAAAUCAUAGCUCAAUUAAAACAAUAUUUGCGAAGAUCCAGGCAAUGCAUGUCAUAAUUGGAUGAUAACAUGGAAUAACACAUUCAGUCGGUAGAGAGGUUUAGACAUCAAGAAGGAUCUCGUCUGGCGAGAGAUCACCUAUGAGCGAACAUAUAUACUAUGUGGGAAGAGGUCAACACCCCCAAGAGGACCAGACUUGGCGAAGGAUCAGGGAAAGCUUGAAGUUUAUUAUCAUCUUCAACGUGGGACUGAUUAUUUGUAUCUUUUUUUGCCUUAUUUUGUAAUAAUAUUUGAAAUUAUUCACAAAAUUUUGGGGAAUAAUGAAAUAUUUCAAAUGGCAUAAUAUAUCCUUCAGAUCGAUAGGCCUACCCUUGGCAUAAAAUGGUCACAUAUUUGUAUAGGAUGCGCAAUUAUUUCUUGUAUGUUGUGUAAUGUAUAUAAUUGAGUUUGUCUUCAAUCAACAUAGUGCUUAUGUGUUUAAUUGAUUCUUUGUGUGAUAUUUUGGAUUAUCAUUAUGAACACGAAUUAACACUUUUACCUUUUGAGUUUUUGAUUUAUGUUAGAAUCUAGAAGUAAGUGUUCGCCCUAAAUUGCGUAAGACAAGAGGAUACACUAAAUUCGAGUCUUUGUAUUUAACAAGACAUUAAUCUCAAGUCAAAAAGAAAAAUUAGGGGAGUCCUUGACUAUGAAGUUACAUUUCUUUAGUUUAUUUGUUUUUUAUUAUUAUGGCCUUGCUUUCACACAUAUCUUAUAUUUCUGUAAGAAAAUCAUUCAAGAUAAUAGUCGCGGAUGGUCAUAACAAUGCAUAGUUUUUACGAAUAAUUGGGAGAAGACACAGUUCCAAGAGACGUUCGGAAAAGAAUACAACAACAAGUAGUUACCGCAAAAAAAAAGAUAGACCACAUUCAACAAACAGUACAAAGGUCUACAGUUAAGAGGAUACAAAGAAUUCCUCUGAGAUUGUCUAAAUUUAAAAAAAAAUUAUGUCAUAUCGUAAGAACUACAUGAACCUUAUUCUCAUUUUGUUGAGAUACGUAAGCGACCUUUCUAGGGUUCAGUAUUUAUAAUUUUAUUUUAUUUUAUUUAAAAAAACAAAAAAAAAGUAAAAUAGUUUGUGCAUAUUUGAAUGAAUUAUGUGAACCUGACUUUCAUUUUGAUGAGAUACAUGGACAACCCUUCAUGGGUUCGGUAUUCAUUCUUCUAAACUCAAAAAAAAGAUUCAAAUAGUUUGUUCAUGUUUUCAAAGUCACACGUACUUGAUUCUUAAUUUAAUGAGAUGCGUAGGCAAUCUUUCUUGGAUUUGGUAUCCAUUUUUUCAAAAGUAAAAUAAUAUUGUGUGCAUAUUUCAAAAUCUUAUAUGCAUGAACUACACUCACUUGAUUCUCAUCUUGAUGAUAUAUGUUGGGAACCCUCCUAGGGUUUGUUAUUCAUUCUUUCAAAAAUAAAAAUAAAAAUAAAAAUUAUGUAUAUAUCAUAAUAGUCAUGUCUUCGACUUAGUUUGGACCAAUGGAGUUAGGAUCAUGUAAAAAUAAUCAAUAUGAUAAAAAGGUUGACUUUUUGGUAAACCAUAGAUUCUUUUGAUACCUCUCAUUUGUACUUUGGUGAUGCUUGAAAGUUAUCUUGCAGACAUUCAAGAUAAGAAUAAAACAAACUGCAUGAUUUCAUGUGCAUGGUGCGGAGAGCUUUUACAUCAAAAUUCAAUUGCAUUGCACUAUUGAUCUAGAACUUGGCCUGAAUGUUUUUUAGGCGAUAUCCUGAGUAAUGUUUGGCUCGUGAAAGGAUUGUAGGCCUUUUUGGACCCGAUUUUGCCUUUCAACCUACCGAAUGAUAUCAAUCCCUAUUUUUCUCACUUUUAAGCCUAAAGCCUAUUCUUUGGAAAUCUACAUUUUAGCCAUUACACUUUUGAGUGCUUACAUGCACUAGCCCUCUCUUGAACUAACCUUUUUGAGUGCACCAAGAUUGUGCAAAUUAAAAGAGAAAAUUCAUUUUCAAUUACCAAAGACAAAGAAUGAAGUCUCCCAAAUUCAAGAAAACAAAAAUGACUUCUACAAAAUGAACAAAAAGAAAGAAAGAGAAAAGUUUGAAAUAUAUAAGGAAAGACAGUAACACCCUUACAAGGUCAAUGAAAGGUGGGAAGGAAAAUACUCCAACAAAAGAGGAGAAAAGUUUAUAAAAAAGGAGUGAAAUAAAAUAAAGCUCCAAGAAAUAAAGAAUCAAAAGAAGUCAAAACAAAAGGGUGAAAAAAGAAAAAACUCCAAGAAAAGAUAACUCAAAAUAAGUCAAGAAAAAAGAAGAGGAUAGUGAAGAGGAUCAGAUGUCAAAGGUGUAUCAAUAAUUUAAAGCACAAAUUCAUUGUGGCACUUAAGAAGGAAUUAAGUCACUCUUGUCCCAAAUAUAUAUCCUGCUUGUCCCUAAGCCUACGUUACAAGACAGUGGCAAGCCCUACAUGAUCUCAUUCCAAAUGUUCUCACAUUAGUGGAGAUUAACAUAAGGGUCAAGUAUAUGGUAUCACAGUUUCAUGAAUUAAACAUUUUUGUGAGUGUGAGUGCACUCUGAAAAAUGUCCUCAAAUCAAACGCUUUGAAUAUGUGUGAAAUAAUAAUUGUCUUUGUUGUGAGGGCACGUGAAACAUAAGAAUUGGUACAAUUCAAAACCUUUGUUUGAAGCAAGAUGAACAACUCUUGUUGAUUUUUAAGUAUGUUUGAGGUAACACUUGAAGAUGAAGGAAUUACCUAGAAUUAAAUCUUAGUUGAAAAAAGAGAGAAUGAGAGAUUUUCCUGAAAUCCUGACUGUUGGUACCAAUUGAAGUCAAGAUUUGACUAUUUCACCACAUUCUUUAUUUAAAAAACAAAAAAAAGUGAGAAAGCACCGACUCUUUAAUAUUUUACAAACCUUUAGAGUCUUUCCAUUUAAAAGAAGAAGAAGAAGAAGAAGAAGAAAUUGUCUUAUUGAGUUGUUCGUUGUAAAAAAUGUCAUUAGGUUAAUCUUGUAUGUGUGAGAGUCCUAUUUUACUUCAUUGGGUUGUCCGUCCCAAAAUGUGAUAUAUUGUCUUUAGGCUUUAAAUAUAACAAGGAAUAUUAUUUUUAUAUUUCAUCAUGUUCAUAUUGUGCAUUUUCUACUGAUAAUCGCUCAGAUUCUUUGUAGUAUUAAUCAUCUUACAGGAUUGGAACUACAUUUGACCUGAUUCCUGGUUCAACAGGAUCUGUAGGUGCCACUACGGCUCGGUCAUAUACCAAGUGUGAUUUUCAUUUCUCUUUGAAAUAGAAACUAGGACAAAUUUUUUUGAGAGCAUCUAAAAAACUCACAAUAAAAGUGCUAACUCCAUCAAGUCAAGAUUGUAGGUCAUUUUGAGAUUUGCCAACAGUUAUAAUUGGGGCAGAAUUUUUUAGGAAGACCUCAAAAGUUUCAACAAGUAUUAUGAGAAACUUGAUAUUCAAUUUCAAAUGAUCCAUCAUCGCUUAAGGUUGAAAAUAAACUUGCAAAUCUCUAGCAUUUUCAUGGCGAUCCAGCAUCUUCUCGUACAAAUCCCCAAUAAAACAUGAGUUUCAAAGAACAGAAAACGUUCAAGAGAAAAAAUGAUGAUUUCUCACUUGUGUAAAAGUGAAAGCCUAUUUGUACAUAUUCUCUUGUGAAUCUUUCCUUGAAGUUUCUGUAUCAUGUUGCUACUAAAGCAACAUCGUGUCUUUUAACUAUUCCUUUUUUAAUAUAGGGGCACAUGAGAGUAUCGAAUGAUGACAUUUUCAAGAUACAGGAGCAAUUCACCUCAUUUUAGUUUGACAAUCACCGAGUCAUCCACCUUCUUAGAGUGGAAAAUCAUCCACCUCGAUAUAGUAGACAAUCAUCAAGCCACCUCAUUACAGUUGGAAAAUCACCAAGCCAUCCACCUCAUUACAGUGAAAAAUUAUUAGGACAUCCAUCAUUUGUACUUUUCAUAGUAUUUUUAAUUGCCGAAAAGUCAUAAAAUUUUUCAUUUGCUGAGAAGGUCUUACAUUUAAGUUGCAUUUAUUCGGAGGUGAAGGAUGUGCACCAAAUCUAUUGAGCUUUCAAGUCGGUGGAAACUUACAUCGAAAGAUAUUCAUAUGUAAGUCGCAUCUAUUUGGAGGUGAAGGAUGUGCACCAUAUCUUUUUAAUGUUCAAGGCGGUGGAAACUUGUUUUGAAAGAUAUUUGCAUGUAAGUCGCAUCUAUUCAGAGGGGAAGGAUGUGCACCAUAUCUUUUUGACGUUCAAGUCAAUGAAAACUUGCACUGAAAGAUAUUUGCAUUUAAGUCACAUUUAUUCAAAGGUGAAGGACGUGCACCAUAUCUUUUUAACUCAAGUCGGUGGAAACGUGCGUUGAAAGAUAUUUCCAUUUAAGUCGCAUCUAUUUGGUGGUAAAGAAUAUCACGAUGUCCUUUUAACGUUCAAGUCGGUGGAAGGUUGCAUUUAAUUCGCAUCUAUUCGGGGGUGAAGGACUUGCACCAUAUCUAUUCACUGUUCAAGUUGGUGGAAACUUUUGUUGAAAGAUAUUUGCAUUUAAGUCGCAUCUAUUCGAAGAUGAAGGAUGUGCACCAUAUCUUUUUAACGUUCAAGUUGGUGGAAACUUGCGUUGAAAGAUAUUUGCAUUUAAGUUACAUCUAUUCAGAGGUGGAGAAUUUUCACCCUAUCUAUUCAAUGUUCAAGUCGUGGAAACUUACGUUGAAAGAUAUUUGCAUUUAAGUCGCAUCUAUUUGGAGGUGAAUGAUGCGCACUCUAUCUAUUCAACGUUCAAGUUGGAGGAGACUUGUUUGAAAGAAGUUUUAUUCGUCCUAUCGAUGGACCUACAUUCAAAAUCCUACUGAUGAAUUAUCAUCUUUCCCGUUCGUCCUACAAAUGGACAUACAUUCAAAAUCCUACAGAUGAAUCAUCAUAUUUUUCAUUCGUCCUACCGAUGGACAUACAUUCAAAAUCCUACCAAUGGAUCAUCAUCUCUUUCAUUUAUCCUACCGAUGGACAUGCAUUCAAAAUCCUGUCGAUGGAUCAUAUUUUUUCAUUUGUCCUACCGAUGGACAUACAUUCAAAAUCCUAUCGAGGAUCAUCUUUUUUUCAUUUGUCCUACUGAGGGACAUACAUUCAAAAGCCUACCUAUAGAUCAUCUUUUUUUUAUUCGUCCGAUCGAUGGACAUACAUUCAUAUCCUACCAAUGGAUCAUUUUCAUUUGUCCUACCUAUGGACAUGCAUUUAUAUCAUACUAAUGGAUCAUCCUUAUUCGUCCGAUAGAUGAACAUAGAUUCAUAUCCUAUUAAUGGGUAAUUUUCAUUCGUCGAACCGAUGGACAUGAAUUUAUAACCUUUGAAUAGAACAUUUUAUUCGUCUGUUCGAUGGAGAUACAUUAAAAUCUUUCUGAUUGGAUCAUCUUCAUUCGUCCAAUGAACAUAUAUUUAUAUCUUCCGGAUAGAUCAUCUCCAUUCAUCGUAUCGUAAGAGAUGCUACCUUUUUUUCUUUUAGUUUUGUUUAUACCAAUGAGUUUUACCUUUGUUUUUUAAGAACAUCCUAGAGAAUGCAUUCUCAGUGGAUCCACAUGUGCGGACUACUUCAACAAGGACGCAACAUAGCGUUAAACCUUUUGGAUGUAAGUCCGGGAUCGACUUCUACCACAUUUCAACCAUACUUUUAUAUAAGUGUUAUGUGUUAAGACAAAAUCGGGCUUGUCAAUUUUUCUUAUCCUUGAUUUCUUUCACCAAUCAUAUCCAACGAAAGGGACAACUAUUGACACCCAUUUUGGCCUAACAUUUUCCAAAUUCAUAACUUUUGAGUUUUAUUUAUUUAAUAGUUAAAAAAGAAUUUUUUCAUAAUUUUGAAUAAGCUUAUCGAUAAUUAUCUUUAUUUAUAUAAACUUAGGGUUUGUUAUUAGUAGAUUUUUUAAAUUGCAUUUUACAUGUCAUUAGUUACGUUCAUUAUAUUAUUUUAAUAUUCAUUUUAUUUGUUACAUUUGUUGAUAUUUUGCACAUCAUAGUUUCAUUCAAAUGCGGAUAAAAUUUGUGUAUACAGUCGAUCGAUAAUUUUGGACCACAAUUUCAAACCCACAGAAUUUGAGCCCAUUACAUAAUUAUUUUUUCCAUUUAAGUUUUACAAGGUAAAGAAAUGAGGUGGCGGUGGAUAAUUUUUUUUAAUAUGAGAAGAUACAAUUUCCUGAUGAAAAACCCUAAUUUUUUCAAAUGAGGUUUUGGUUGGAGAAGGCAGGUGGUAAGGAAGGAGGGUGGUGGCUGAGGGACGAAAAUGGAGAGGAAAAAAUUAGGGUUUUUGAUUAGGAAAUUGUUUCUCAUAUAAAAUAAAAUAAAACUUAUCCACCACCACCUUAUUUCUUAACCUAGUAAAACUUAAAUAGAAAAAAUAAUUAUACAAUGGAUCAAAUUUUGUGGGUUUGAAAUUGUAGCCCAAAAUUAUCGAUAAAUUUUACAGGCAAAUUUUAUCCAUAUUUGAAUGAAUUUCUACAGUGUGCAAAAUAUCGACAUGAAUAUCAACAAAUGUAACAAAUAAAAUGAAUAUUAAAAUAAUAUAAUUUAUGUAACUAAUGACAUGUCAAAAUGCAAUUUAAAAAUUUACUAAUAAAAAAUUCUAAUUUUGAUAAAUAAAGAUAGUUAUCGAUAAACUCAUUUAAAAUUAUUAAAAAUCAUUUUGAACUACUUAAUAAAUAAACUUAAAAGUUAAGAAUUUUGAAAAUGUUAGGCCAAAAUUGGGUGUCAACUUAUGGUCAAGAUUAUUAGAAAAAAUUAAUCAAUCAAAUAAGUAAAAACACAAUUGUUUGCGACUAUGUUCAAGGUUAAGAAGGAUAAAAAGACAAUUGUUUGUGAUAUAUAUAUAUAUAUAUAUAUAUAUAUAUAUAUAUAUAUAGAGAGAGAGAGAGAGAGAGAGAGAGACACACUCGACAUCACAAAUAGCAAUAAGAAGGGUUAGGGUUAAGGAUCACUCAUAUCACAGGCAACAGAUCUGACGAGCUCAUGUUCCAUUGAAAAGAGAGGCUAGACCUCAACCUCAGAUUUGAAGUCCGAUGGUAGAGAUUCCCUUGAUCUUCUUUUUGGGGAUAUGACUUUAAGGAUUGUCCAUCCUCUGUCUAUUCAUCAAGUCAUGUCAUGCUCACUCUCAGGGACCGGAAUAUUUGAAGUUGCAUUAUAAUAUUCUAAACUAAAUUUUCAAAGUGCAAAAGAAAAACUUACAUCGUUGAAUCAAAAAUUAAAAGAGGAGAUCAAAAAGGGAAAUCCUCACAGACGAACAAUUAGAAGAACUCGCGAUUGAGUACUAAAAUAAGCAUGGAUACCGAUCUUAUUUAUAGUGCUCAAAAUUUAAUUUAUUUUCCAUGUGGAUUAAUUUCUCAAGAUUUAUUGACUUAAUGAAUUGAAAAGAGAAUAAAUAGAGUCAAACUAAAUUUUAAUAACUUAAUGGCGGUGUGAAACUUAACAGGGGAACUAACAUAAAUUCUACUAGUUUAGAAACUUACUACUUAGAUACAUUCUAGAUUUAAAUAUUAUAUAUCUUACCAGAUUUGUGGUGAGUCCAGAUAUGUUUAGAUACGUCCAGAUGCAUGUAUCUCAGGAUAUACAAGGUCAAAUUUUGUUUUAGACAUUGUAUCCAAGUAGAUUCAUAUGUAUUUGGGAUACAUAACAAAUCUCCCUCGCUUCUCUCUCAAUUCACUCAUUACUCUCCCUUGUAUCUGGGAAUCACAGCAGAUAAAUUUAAAUACAUGUAUAUAGUGUGUAUCUAGUGUGAUUCACAUGUAUAUGAGAUACAUAACAAAUAUCACUCGCCUUUAUUUCAAUCUUGCUUGCCUUUCUCGCUAUUUUAGUUUAUCUGAUAACAAAAAUAUAUGCAUCAAGUAUAUCUUUCUCAAUAUAUGGUAUAAAACUCUUAAUUAGUAGUAAGAUAUAUAAUAUUUUGAAAUUAUAAAUAACAAUAGUAUAUACACUAAAUAUGUAGUGAGGUAUAUCUAAAUAUGUAGUUUUUCACGCUAAAUAUUCAUUGUAAUCAUAAAAGUAAACUAGCAAAAUAGAAUACGAAUGAAAAUCAAACAGUUCAAGUUUAGAAACACAAUAAUUGUGGUCUAAAUAUGUCGAUCAACUAGUUUAUAAUAUAUGUAUCAUGUCUCUAAAUAACGAUACCAAGACCAUAUUGAAAGGAUCUAUAAAACUGAAAAGUGAAUUGUGUACCACGAUUAGAAAAAAUGGACAAAUACAGACCAUGAAACCUUAUAAUUUCUCUCAAGUACAACUUAAUCCUCCAUCGAAUAAGAAACCUUGACGAAAAUGAAAUGGGCAAAUUUCGUUAUUUGAUUUACUAUAACCCAAAUCAAGUCAUGUUGUCGCUUAGUGCGAGGCAAGCCAAUGAUGAAGUCCAUAUUCACAUCUUACCACUUUCGAGUAGAAAUUCUAUUUUAGGGCUAACUUUUUGAUUUUUGAUGCUCAAAUUUCAUUUGUUGAUAAUUAGGACACUUAGCCACAAAUCCCGCAAUAUCCUUCUUCAUCCGAUUCCACCAAUAUAUCUCUUUCAAAUCAUGGUACAUCUUAGUGGCUUCCGAGUGAAUGAAAGACCGAGAACUAUGGUCUUUUUAUAAGAUCUUCUCCCUCAGGACAUCUAUAUUGGGAGCACACAAAAAAACUUAAUAUCUAAAUACUCCAUCUCCCCCUUGGAACAAAGACUCUAAAGACUUUUUAAGUAAAUCUUUUUCAAUUCAACAAAAGUCGGAUCAAGAUUUUGCUUG